This 46231-nucleotide long non-coding RNA is filed under the name Theobroma cacao (cacao). RNAcentral describes it as "long non-coding RNA (TCAC_LNC002290)". Lineage: Eukaryota; Viridiplantae; Streptophyta; Magnoliopsida; Malvales; Malvaceae. The record is from RNAcentral.
UUUAUACAUUAUAAAGAUAAGAGACUGGGCUACAACUUUGAUGUUUACCACUUUGCCCAAUUCUAAUUAGAAUGUAGUCAAAAUCAUUUUCAAACUGAAAGCACUGCACUAGGAAUUUGGAACUACUCGAGAGUUUCUCGCUGCAGCGAGAAGCUUCAACAAAUUUCUCGCUGCAGCGAGAGUCAGGCCAGUGCAACCCCCUCCAACCCGAGAGUUUCUCACUGCAGCGAGAAAUAGAGCAACUUAGUUAAAAAGGGUCUUGUUACAUCAAAAGCCAUUUUCUUACUGAAAUGAAAAGCAAUUUGGGAGCAAUUAACAUUGCCAAUAUACAACACAAUCACAAUUAUUUUCAUAAACUUUCUAUAACAUAUAUAUAUUUGUAUAUACAUACAUCAUCAUGCAUACCAUCCUGCCACACUCAGCUCAUGUGCACUCCCUACACGCACAAGGCAAUAUCAUCAUCAUGUGCACUCCUUACUCACACAUUUCAAUAUCAUCAUCAUGUGCACUCCCUACUCGCACAUUUCAAUAUCAUCGUGUGCACUCUCUACUCGUACACUUCAAUAUCAUCAUCCACACUUCCGCACCCCAUCAUCACUAGCAUGUGCAUCCCCCACAUCGUGCACACGCACGGUUAUAUUCAUUACACAAUAGUAUCUACCAAUGUACAAUGCAUAUAUAUAUAUAUCAACAUAUAAAGGGAUUUCGUAAUUUCAUUGCAAUCACAUUUCAAAACGCAAAAAAAAAAAGGUUUCGUCAAAAGCUUGUUCCCAUAUACAUUUUAAGGAAAAAGACAAUUAAAACCUUUCAAGCAAUUCACUCAAACAUUUACACAUUUACCCCAAAUCAUUUUAAUGUAAGUUCACUCACCAGUCUUUAUUGAUGUUUUGGUGGGCUCUAACUUCGACUUAUGUUCCGAAUGGAGGUGUGGGGUUUCGUUGGAACCUAUCACACGCAACAACAUCGCCAUCAACCCAACUUGGCAUUAAUACCAUUCCAAAAGCUAUUUCCUAAAUCAAGUUCUACUAGUCAUCCCUAACUAGCUUCCAACUACUAUUAAAUGGCUAUUAUUUGCACUACUCUAGUCACACUAAAAUUGAAUAAACAACCUCAAUAAUAAAAAACUCAAAAAUCUAAUUAUUAAACAUUCUCAACACUUAAAAAAUUAACUCUACUUCAUUACUCACCUUUGUAGCUUUGUAAGUAAAUUCCUUUCCAAGAAUUUUCAAGCUAUCAUAGAAGCUCUCUCUCUUUCUCUCUUUAGAACACCUAGCUAGUGAGUGAAAGUAUGAGAGUAAGACUUUUUAAGGGUUUUAAGGUGAGAGAGUGAAAGAGUAUGAAAAACCCUAAAACAAGGUGUGCAAAAGCAUGAAAUUUAAGGUUAGUUUGAGAGGGUCAUGGAAGCUUUGAGAGAAGCUUUCAUGGAGGAUGAAAGAAACUUGAGAUGGGAGGAAGAAGAAGAAGAAGAAGAAGCUGCUGGAAAAAUGAGGAAGCUACUGGAGGAAUGAGAUAUUUAUGCAUAAGUUUAUCCAAGUUUCAUACAAUUUACCAAAAUAACCUCAACAAGGUGACUUUGUCUUCCUCCUAUCCUUUGUGCAACCUUUUUACUCUUUUGACGUUGAGAAAAAGUCCAUAAUAGUUUAAAAAUACUUAGGUUCACGAAAACGAAAAAAUUUAGACCUGAGAUGUAAAAUGACCAUUUUACCUUUACUAUGGAGAUUAUCAGUGUUUUUAUCUUCUUCAUUUAUUUUACCAUCAUUCAUUCAUUCUUUAGGCUUACUUAGACCUUAAUAACAUUAGAAAACUACUUCCAAAAGCUCACCAUGAGAAAUGACGAAAUUACCCCCGGUCCGUGUUAUUGCGUCUACUUCUAGUUACAAGUAUAUGAAGGUCGAGGUUUCACAAUACGAGGGUACUGGGUAUCACAUUUUCUCCCAUAUCUUGUGGAUGAUUAAAGCAUUUGUAGCUCCCACAUGAAAGUCUCCUACGUUAAAAAUAAAAAUACAUUAGUGUUACAAAAAAAAUAUAUAAAUAUACAAUACGGACUAAUAUUUUAACUUCUUGAUGACAACAUGGUACCUUAAAUUUAUGCCACAUGGCAUUCUUUACCUCGAGAAGAACAUGCCUCCAUGUAUGCCAAGCCCCAUUGAAGUAACUCUUGAUAAUUCUAGUGAUGGUUGGAGUCACUCUUGUCUUUGCAAAAGUACUAUAAAAUUAAUACAUCUGUAUUAGAAACACAUUAAUGAAAUUAAUUUGAUGAAUGAAAUUAGUUAAUUAGUAGAUAUUACCUUUCUUCAAUAGAUUUCAAACAAAUAUUGCAGCAUUAGGAUUAAGAUCUUCAUGAAUCACCCAUUCAUUUUCAUUCUCAACAUUGAAUUGAAACUCUAGACGUAAAGCAUCCAUAACCAUUUCAACAUAUGCAUUUUUUACUCUAGCUUUAUUAGCUAUUUCUUGGACAUUAUCAUCAACAAAAUGUCCCAAUGAUUGUCUAGCAUGGAAUGAUUCAACAUGUGAAUCCCAUAGCAUCGGUAAAACCUUUAUGAAAUAAGUGCACCUGAAUCUUAUCAACAAUUAAGAACUUGUUAUUCAUACAUUGAUAGCAAGGACAUCUGAUCCUAUUCCCAUUAACAUAUCUAUGUUGAUAAAAGGCAAAUGAAAUAAAUUCUUCUACACCAUUCACAAAUUGUAGUAUAAGAAAUCCACUUUAAUAUACUUGGGAAUGCACCCAACUCCUAUCUCGUUCCAUUCUAUUAACUAUAAUGAAUAGAUGAUGUCAUAUGUUAUAAGAUGUAAAAAAAAAAAAAACUUAACUAAUUACUAGAACUAUAAUGUAUAUAAUUCAAAGCAACAUAUUUUAUUUGAUGCGUCAAAGUUUUGUUUCCCAUUUUAAUUCUUUUUUACUUUAGUGUAAUAUUUUCACUAUAUUAUGAAUUUAAAUCAAUUAAGUGAUGAUUGUAUAAAUAUUUACGCUUUUGACAUGCAUUUUCACAUGGAAUAAAAUUUCCCUAUGUUUUUAUAUCAUUUAUAAAUUGAUAUUUAUUACAAACUUCACCAAUGUCCCUAAACACACUCUCCAAUUCGAUAUUUAUUCAAAAGCUAGCUUUUUAAGUUGCAAAGUAUUGUAACAUCUACACAUAGGUUUCACCUAUAAAUGUGUGUUGGAUAAGAAAGUUCAAGUUUCAGCUAUAGAAUAUUGUUACCUACAACAUUUUGAAUACUAGUUAUCUUAGUUUAUAAUUUAAAUAAUUUUUUAUUUGAGUUAUAUUAAAUUUGGGUUGUUCCAAAUCCAAAAAUCCAUUUUAGAUUUAAGUUGCUUGCAUUCAACCUAUUACCCUUCCAAACCCAAUUUGGAUUGGAUCAAGUUUGGUAUAAGAGGAGUCAUUUGGAUUUUGUGGUGGAGCCUACAUUAAUUAAAGUGGAAAGGCCAAGGUAAAGAAUAUUUAUGAAGAUCAAACAAAAUUCUUUGAAUAUUUAGGUCUUAUUUGCAGUAGAACAAAAUGUAGGAAUUCAAUCAAUAAAGUAAUAAAGUUGAUUUUACCCAUAAACCAAAAUUAAGCCUAAAUCCAUCAAAAUUCUAACAUGCCUUACACUUUGUCUUUUAAUCCUAAUAUUGAAAAUUAGUUUCAUUUCUCAAUGAUCACCCUUGUCUAAAAAAGAAACUCCUUUACAUCACUUGUCAAAAGGAAAAACUACUUUUUGUCUUGCCUCUAGACUCUAGAAUAUGACUUAACAACAUUUCUUAAAAUCCAUGUCACUAUUUGAUACUUGGCAUGUCACAACCCGGAACUCUCUUUGAGCCCGUGACAACCGCCGCGAUGUCCCGAUUGACACUAAUUACUCGAAAUGUCAACUAGAACCCCGCAAGGCUUUAAUAUCAGCUUCUCAUUUCCCCUGUGAGUAACCGUUGCCAAAUAUCACGUUCUAAAAGAUUUUAAACUAUUUCCAACUUAAAACAAUAAAAAAUAAUUUUCGUCUCACAGGGGUAUUUUAGUCAUUUUUCCUUUAAAAUUUUGAAACAAGCUAAUAAUGUAGUAUACGAUGCAAAACACAUAUUUCAUAACCAAAAAUAAAUUUGGAUGUCUAAAACAUUCGUUUAAAGUGAAAUUAUGAUUGUUAGAAUAAAAUAAAAAUAUUAAACAAAAUAUUCUAUUUUCUUAUAAAACAAUAUUUUUUAGAACACUGCGUAAAUAAUUUUUACAGCGUAAAAGCAAAAUAAAUUCCUACAUAUAGUAGUACAAAUAACUAAAGUAUGAAAUUUAAUUUACAGUGACAUGUGGACCCCCAAAUGACAAAAAUGAACGAAGGCUGCAAACCUACAGUUUUUGAGGAAGCAAAACCAACUGUAGCCUUCGACAAUAUCAGUUAUCUACAGCCUAUACUGAGCCUAAAAUGGGUGGAAAUGAAGGUGGUGAGAUUAUAAAAUUCCAGUGAGUAAACAGACAUCAUCAUAAACAUCUAGAGUUAAGUACAUGGAGACGAUAAAAUAAAUCAUCAUAAACUGGGUCACAACAUUAGAACACAUUUCAUUCAAAAUACGUAAUGAGGCUUAUGAAUCUCAUAAAAACUAGGCUUGUGCCAUAAAAUCCAUUCUCGGGGACACCUUGGCCGAGGCAUCCUACCGAGACCGCCAAGGUUGUUAAAAAUUCACAUUUCGCAUAAAACACAUUUUUCGUUGGACAUCACAACUGUUCCUUGGUGUUGGUUGAGUUCACCAUCACGUGGUGGUUCGGCGUGAAAUGAACUCAAAUACAACCUCAGGAGCUACCUUACGCGCCUCUACAAUCGAGAUGAGCACAUAUAAACUGGGUUAUUGUGCCCCUCUCAUAGGCUGGUCUAUGGAACCCGCCUACUGCAGUAAGCUAAUAAUUAUCUCACCAAUCAAUAAAAUUCAAUAACAUGAUAUGACAAUUAUUGCAAUUCACAGCCUUUCAAGGCAAACAAACAAUCUGUAUUUCAAAACAAUUGCCAACCAACUAAUCAUGCCCGGUUUAUCAUAAGCCAAUCAAUUUAAACAAUCAAAUUGCAACAAAUAGCAGUCUCCGUGUACUUUAUUUUUCAAAAUCAUUAUUAAUUUCAAAACAAUUGAUAAAUUAAUUUCAUUGAAACACAUUUAUUCAUAAAACAUGAAAAUUUACCUUUUUAAAUCCAUUUUUCCGUAGAAUUUAUGAAAUCAUCUAAAAGCCACCCUAGAUAAUUAAAAUGAUAGUAAGUUUACUCACAAUGUCUAGAGUGUGAAUUUUCGAAGUACUCUGACUAGUGGUCCUCGGAUGCAAUUUCUUUGCCUUUAUCGGAGGACUCACCACCUUGACAUAGUAAAAAAUCGAGAAACUUACUACAUUAGUACUAAAUCGAAAUUAAACUAAUUUAGACUACUAAUGCAUGAUAUGGAAUGCAAGAUGCACGGGUAACCAUCUAAACCCGGUAUUAGCCUAAUUCGUCUUAUCACCUGAUUAAUUGGCCAACGCGUCCAAUUUAGCUCCAAAUUGCUCCAUUUCUUUUCCAAUACCUUAAUUCACCAAACACAAGUCAAAUAACCUAAAAUUUGGCAAAACCAUCUUCACUUUUCUUCUUAGAAUUUUCGGUCAAUAAUGGUGCAUUAACAACGUGAUUUUUCCUACUACUUUUCCACACCAUAAUUCAUCAUUUUCUAACCAAUUCUCUUAAAAUAAAAAAAAUCAAAUUCAUCCGUACUUAAUACAAGGUAGGUUCGGCCAUUGAUGGGUGAUGGGAAAAAUGAAUUCUUUUCUUACUGUUUUGCUUCUAGACAUGGUAAACUAACUAAAAAUACUAACAUAACUUGAAAUCAAAUCAAUCCAACAUCAUUAUCUCUCCAUACCCAUUCGGCUAGCCAUGAAUUCACCAUGAAAAUAUAAAAUUUAAUCGUGAAAAAUAAGGAGAAAUGUUUAAGGAAAAUAGAUUUCAAGUUUAAAUUGAGAAAUCCUACCUUUUUCACUUGCUUUUCCAUACUUUUUCUCUUGAAAUUCUCCAUCUAGGUUUAUUCUUUCUUUGUUUCCCCAUUUUCCUUGCUUGGCCAAAUAUUUGGAGAGAAGUGAGAGGUUUAUAGGCUGAUUUUUAAAGGAAAUAAUAAAAUAUUCUAAGCUUGACAAGUGUCAUUUUAUUAUUGGUCUAUUUUUAAAACUUUAAAAAUUUAAACUUUUUAUCUCCAUCACAUAUAUUUUCUCACUUAUCCAUAACAUAAAAAGUCAAUGGAUGAAUUCUAUGAGCAUGACAAGUGUUGGGUGUGUAGAAUUACCAUUUUGCCCCUACGGUGGCAAAAUGACUAUUUUGCCCUUAGGGUGGCAAAAUGACUAUUUUGCCCUUAUCAUCGAAAAAACACCAAAAUUAAAAUUCUUCACUUCUCAAACUCAAAUUAUACCCCAAAUGAUCAAUCUUAGUCAAAAAUUUCAUCUAACUCUCACAUCUUAACCUCGGGUGACGAAAUGACCAUUUUACCCAUGGAUAGUGAAAUUUUCGGUUUGAUUCCAAAUUGAUUUUCGAACUCCAAAUCACCAUUUUAAAUCAUUCAUGGACUGUAAAAUUUUCAAUUUCACCCUAAAAUCUCUAUUUGAUCUAGUUCGAGGAUUAAAUCAACUUUGUUGUACCUCUAAGUAUAAUACCUACUUUUAUAAAUUUUUCGGCACUCUCCUAGCAUGCAAACAUGCUAUCCAUCACAUGUAUGUCAUGACAAGUAUUUUAUAAGGUCAGAUUUUACAUGGAAAAUCCUUUUCAAUGCAAAUAUCAUGAUCUUUAACCUAAUCCAUGGAUCUUGAAGCUAUGUACAAAUCAAGGUAAUAACUAAAAUAAUUUCAUUGAAUCUUUUCAAGUUCAAAUCAACACCUUAGCAUUUUCCAAGCAUCUUUUUGACAUACAAUUUCCUAUUACAUAGUUUGAAACAUACUACCAACUUGGGUCGACACUAGAAUGGUAUAGCUUUCGAACCAUUUAAACAACUAUACAUAACAAUAUGAGAUAGCUUCUAAAUAGAAAUUCAAGAUUUAAAUCCAAUACUCAAAGCAAUGGACAAGGACUCCAUAGAGAAAAUAAUUCUUUAUAUUGACAUUUUUAAAUCAUAUUAUUUAUAAUAUCAUUUAAAUAAUAAAGUAAGAGGGGCAAAAAUAGGCAAACCUAAAAAAAAAGACUUUAAAUGACUUCAAAAAGCCUAUAUAUUAACUUGCUUAAAAUUUAACGAUCGCUAAAUCGUGUGGCAAAGAUCUCAUGAGACCUUAUUUGAGAUAAGGAGAAUUCAAUGGGACUAUAUAUGAUAGAUUAUACCUUCAGGUGGCAUAUUUAUAUCAUCAAAAGUAGUAGCUUAUAUCAUCGUUUUUAUUUCUCUAUGCCAAAUAAAACUAAUAGUAACAUAGUUUAUUAUUCUAUAUUCAAUGAUCAUCUCACCAUCAUGGGUUAAACUAUGAUUUAGUAAGUACCUCAUUCAACUAUAUUAGUAGAAGGUGGAAAAACAAGCAAGCAAUCUUGAAACAUUAAUUGUCCCUCUAUCAUUAAUUAAAUUGGGAUACUAAAGCUCUCAAUUUGUCCUUUCUAGUUUGCAUAAUCGUGGUAAUUAUUAGCAAUAGAAUUAAGAGACAUAACAAUCAUAUAUGUGCUUAGAAAAAAUAAAAACAAUCUUGUAUUAUAAAUAAGAAAAGAAUGUUACUUACUUCAAUUUGGUGUCGAUGGUGGUGGCUUGAAGCUUUGGUGGCAGAUUUGGCAUGCAUGGGGUGGAUUUGUUGUGCAAGAGGUGGACUACCUGGUUUUGGCGAUAGAGGUGUUGGGUCGGCAGUGGGCAAUGUCUGGGGAAGCUUCAAUUGAUGGUAAGACUAGAUUGGGUAAACAAGAAAGAAAGAGGUGAGAGAGAGAAACAAAAUGGAGAAUUGGGGGAAAAAAGCCCAAGCAAGUCAUUUAAUUUAAGUUACCAACAAAAUUCUUGAUGAAAUUCUCAUCAAUAAGUAAAAUGGAAAUUACUAACAAAAAUUCUGUUGGCAAUUUGGUCAGUCUAGGCUUCAAAUUAAAAAGUCAUUACUGAUAGAAAUUCCAUUGGUAAUGGCAUAAGAAUAUUAACAGUUUUACCAACCACAAGUUUUGUCUGCAAUUUCGUCGAUAAAUUUUGUUGGUAAAGAAAAUACCUAUGGAAUUAGUUAAUUGGUACUUCACAUGCCUUUUGCCUAGAUUGCACGUCAAACAAUUAUCGACCAACUUUUGAUAGAACAUAUUUUGUCGGUAAAUUCUGUUGGUAUAUCAUUGGUAUUUUGUUGACAAUUUGCGUGGCUUGGAUUUGUUGGCAACAUGUCAAUAAUUACCAAUGGAAUUUUACUAACGAUUUAGUUCUAUCGGCAAAACCCUGUUUUUUAAUGGUGUUCUUACUACAUAGUUUUAGUUGCAUUUGUUCUAAUGCAAGUGAAUUAAUCACAUAACAAUUAAUACAUUUUCAUUUUAUUGCACUAUCUAAAGUGUAAUCACAUAAAACAAAUUAAAAUAAAUUUAUGUGUAAGAGAGGAGUGAAACCCAUAAAAAAUCGGAAGCCAUGGCCCAUGAAACAACCAAUAAAAACGUCAUUUAUCUUUUAUGUUUAAUUUUUUUUUUUGUUGGAAAGUCACUCUCAUUUAAUACCCCUUUCUCUCUUUCUCAAGCUUGGAUCAAGUAUCAUUUCUUGCUUCAUUUCUCACCAAAUUUUUUCAGAUUUUUUUACUUUCAAAUUUUUUCUAAGAUAAGUAAAUUCUCUUUUUCUCUCUUUGUUCAUUUUUCCCCUUUGGCUACUAAGAAAAUUCUUAGUUAGCUAGAUCUAAAGAAAUCCUCAGAGAGUUUCUCAUGUUUUUUCUUUUAUUUUAUUUUUGUACUUUAUUUUUUCAAAUCUAUAUUAACUUUUUAUGCUCCAUUAUCUUGAACAAUUUUUUUUGGUAUAAAAAAAAAUUCCCAUUGAGAAAGGUGAAUAGUUGAAAAAAAAAACAAAAAAGAAUUUGAAAUGAGUUCCAUGGCUUCAAGGUUGGUCCAUCCAAAACUCUCACUCCCCAAACUCUAGUAAGUUGAUAUUCUUUUCUUUUGUUUCUUUGAUUCGUAUGUUUUUGUAUGAUUUUUCAACUUGAUAUUCGAAUUGAAUCAUUAUCAAUGAAAUGGUGGACAUUAGAUUUAAUUAUGUUUUUCUUUAGCUUUGUUAUAAAUUUUAAUGUUAUUUUCUCUAGAUUCUACCAUCUAUUGAAAUAUGAAUUCUCCCUAAUGAUGCAAAAAUGUUAGAAAAGAUUUGUUUUGUGGAAAUGAAAUGUUAAUUUUCUUUUUAGGCCUUCUCCUUUUAUACGAAAUAGUGCAAACCGUGCAAUGGGUGGGUCCAAGAAUGGGAGAUUCUUUUUAGCAGAGUUUACAAGGUUGAUGAGCUUUUUAAAGUUAAAGAAGCAUAGACUAUAGAUGUACCUUCUCCUCUUUCUGAGAAGGUGUUAACUAUUGUCAACUUAGUAAUGUUGGCCUUUUUGUAUGAUGUAUCCCUUUAUCUUGACUUAUUGAACUGGGAGAUAUAUUUAAUUGUACGCCUCUAGGCAACUAAAGAUGCAUGAAUAGAACUACCUCACACACUAUUUAGAGAUGGUAGAAACAGUGUUCGCCUUGAAGAAUUGGAGACAAUACUUGUAAGGGAGAAUUGUGAGAUCUAUAUAGAUCUCAACCUUAGGCAAUGGGGAUGGAUGAAGUUGCUUAAAGAUUACUACUGUACCAUUCUAUAUUGUCCUAGCAAGGCCAAUGUGGUAGCCAAUGCCUUAAUUUAGAAGCCCAUAGGUAGUUUGGCCAACAUAUCGGUGGAUAAGAGAUCAUUAGUGCAAGGAAUGCAUGACUUUGGUGACUUGGGCAUGAAUUUUGAGAUUAAUGAGACAAACGCAUUGUUCACCAAUUUUUGAGUUAGGCUAGUUUUUAUGGAUUAGAUUUAAGGAGACCCAAGGCAAGGAUGACUUUGUAACUAAGGCCUUGGAAAUAUUCAAAGAGGUAAGGGGCGUGAUUUUGUUUUGGGCAUUAAUGGGUUACUUUGAUAUGGUACUAGGAUCUAUGUGCUAGAUGUUGAUGGGUUGAGGAAGGAAAUCUUAGAGGAGGCACACAGCAUGGCCUAUGUGGUGGAUUCAGGUGCCACUCAGAGGUACUAAGACUUAAAGGAAGACUAUUGGUGGGCAAGACUAAAAGAGAUGUGGUUGAGUAUUUGUAUAAGUGUUUGGUGUGCCAUCAAGUCAAGACGAAGCAUCAAAGGCUCGUAAUGUAGUUACAACCAUUGCCCGUGCCUGAGUGGAAGUGCGAGCAUAUUGUAAUGGAUUUUAUAAUAGGGUGCGUUGAACGAGCAGUGAUUAUGAUUCAAUAUAGGUAAUAGUAGAUUGGUCGAUGAAGUUAGCACAUUUCUGUGAGGCCUUGACCUUUAUAGACUCAUAGUUAGUAAUAUACGCGAUAUCCCUUAUUAGGUAUAAUUUCGUCAUUUCCUUAGUGAGCCCAUAAAAGUAAGAUUUUAAACAAUAUUAUGGCCUAAGUAGGCCUAAGGUAUAAAUGAAUGAUGAAAAUAUGGGUAAAAUGACAAGGAAACAAAAAUUUUGAUGAUUUUCAUGGUAGGGGUAAAAUGGUAAUUUUUUACCUCGGGUUAGAAUUUUUAAGUUUUCAUGAACCCGAGCAUUUCUAGACCAUUAUGGACCUUGUCCCAGUGUCAAAGAGUAAAAAGAUUGCAUAAAAGAUUGGAAGAGAAUAAACUAAUUUGUGGAGGGGCAUUUUGGUAAUUUAAGUGGAGUGGAUAAGCAUAGGCUAUAAAUAUCUCUUCCUUCCAGCAGCUUCUACGUUCUCCAGUAGCUUUUCUUCUUUUUCUUCUUCCAUCUCACGUUGCUUCCAUCCUCCAUGGAAGCUUGAUAUGAAAUUUUCAUAACUUUCUCUUUCUAGCUCCAAAUUUCAUGCUUUUGGUGCACCCUUUCCAUAAACCCUUGUGCUCUUCCAUUCUCUCACUUUAAAACCUUUGAAAAAAAUCUUGUUUCCAUACACUCUCUCACUAGUUAGGUGUUUUAGAGAGAGAAAGAUGAAGCUUUACAAUAGUUUGGAGAAUUGUUGGAAAGAAUUUCAAAGUUUCAAAGCUAUUAAGGUGAGUAGUAAAUUAGAGUUGAAAUUUUAGUGUUGAGAAUGAUUAGAGAUUUGAAUUUGUGAAUACUUUGUAGUUGAGAUUGUUAAUUCACUUUAGAGUGAUAGGAUAGUGAAAAUGGAUAGCCAUUUAAAUGGCAAUUGAAAGCUAGCUAAGAGAUAGCUUUUAGAAUUUGUAAGUAUGUGGCUUGAAUUAAUGGUGAUGUUAAUGUGAUGAUAGGUUCCAAAGAAGCCACACCGUCCCAAUUGGACCAUUAAUGAAGUUAGAGUCAGUUAAAGGCUCAACAAUACCGGUGAGUGGAUUUGCAUUUCAAAAUUUAUUUUGGGAGUGUGAAUGCAAUUGUACAAACAUUUGAAAGAUUUUAUCCAUUUUUUUCUUUGAAAAUGUACCUUGGGAACAAGCCUUUGGUGAAGUGAAUUUAUAUUGUGAAAAUGUGCUAUACAAUGGUUUAUGUGUUAUCACAAUAUGAUAAUAUGCAUGAUAUGCAUUGGGUGCUUCUUUGUUUAUUGAUGUGGACUCUGCUAUGUGCGAGUAGGAGUGUACAUAAGCUGAUGAUGACCUGGCUAUGUGCGAGUGGGAGUGCACAUAAGCUGAUGAUGACCCAGCCAUGUGCUAGUGGGGAGUACACAUGAGCUGAUGAUGAUGGGAGAGUGUGUUUGAUGAUGAAUAUAUAUAUAUAUAUAUAUAUAUACAUGUAUAGAUAUGUGUGUUAUAGAAAGUUCAUGAAUAUGUAAAUGGUUGAAAUUCAUGUGAAAUUUGACAUGUUAAACUUUGGGAAAUUAUAUGAGUUUUAUGUUGUGUUGGUCAUGUGAACAGGGUGGCCAUUGCUUGAGGGAAUGGGGGAAUUUUUGCCUGUGCUCUGUUUCUCGUUGCAGCAAGAAACUCUCAUGUUUGGAGGGGUGGUGCUGGCCGAAAUCUCGCUGCAGCGAGAAUGUUAAUGUAGCUUCUCGCUACAGCGAGAAACUUUAUGUUUGAGACUAGAAAUUUCACUGCAGCGAGAUUCAUUCUCGCUGUAGCGAAAAACUUUCUGUUUUGCUCCNNNNNNNNNNNNNNNNNNNNNNNNNNNNNNNNNNNNNNNNNNNNNNNNNNNNNNNNNNNNNNNNNNNNNNNNNNNNNNNNNNNNNNNNNNNNNNNNNNNNNNNNNNNNNNNNNNNNNNNNNNNNNNNNNNNNNNNNNNNNNNNNNNNNNNNNNNNNNNNNNNNNNNNNNNNNNNNNNNNNNNNNNNNNNNNNNNNNNNNNNNNNNNNNNNNNNNNNNNNNNNNNNNNNNNNNNNNNNNNNNNNNNNNNNNNNNNNNNNNNNNNNNNNNNNNNNNNNNNNNNNNNNNNNNNNNNNNNNNNNNNNNNNNNNNNNNNNNNNNNNNNNNNNNNNNNNNNNNNNNNNNNNNNNNNNNNNNNNNNNNNNNNNNNNNNNNNNNNNNNNNNNNNNNNNNNNNNNNNNNNNNNNNNNNNNNNNNNNNNNNNNNNNNNNNNNNNNNNNNNNNNNNNNNNNNNNNNNNNNNNNNNNNNNNNNNNNNNNNNNNNNNNNNNNNNNNNNNNNNNNNNNNNNNNNNNNNNNNNNNNNNNNNNNNNNNNNNNNNNNNNNNNNNNNNNNNNNNNNNNNNNNNNNNNNNNNNNNNNNNNNNNNNNNNNNNNNNNNNNNNNNNNNNNNNNNNNNNNNNNNNNNNNNNNNNNNNNNNNNNNNNNNNNNNNNNNNNNNNNNNNNNNNNNNNNNNNNNNNNNNNNNNNNNNNNNNNNNNNNNNNNNNNNNNNNNNNNNNNNNNNNNNNNNNNNNNNNNNNNNNNNNNNNNNNNNNNNNNNNNNNNNNNNNNNNNNNNNNNNNNNNNNNNNNNNNNNNNNNNNNNNNNNNNNNNNNNNNNNNNNNNNNNNNNNNNNNNNNNNNNNNNNNNNNNNNNNNNNNNNNNNNNNNNGCUAAAAUGUAAUAUACAAGUGCAAAACACAUAAUUCAUAAUCAAAAUGAGUUUAAAAGUCUAAAAUCUUCAUUUAAAACGAAAUUAUGAUUAUUUGGAUAUAAUAAGAUAAUAAAAGAAAUAUUAAGCAAAAUAUUCUAUUUUCUUACAAAACAAUAUUUUUAGAGUUAUACAUAAAUAAAUUUUGUAGCGUAAAAGUUAAAUAAAUUCAUACAUACUGUAAUACAGAUAACCAAAGUAUAAAAUUUAAUUUACAGUGACAUGUGGGCCCACGAAUAACUAAAAGUAUUAAAAAAAAAUGAACCUACAGCUUUUGGAUGUGGCAAGUCCAACUGUAUUCCUCGACAAUAUCAGUUAUCUACAAUCUAUUCUGAGCUUGAAAUGGGUGGAAAUGAGGGUGGUGAGAUUAUAAAAUCCCAGUGAGUAAACAAACAUCAUUCAAAAUAUCUAAAGGCGAGCAAAAGGAGACUAUUAAAACAUUUCAUCAAACUGUAAUUGAUCAUCUUUCAACUUAUUUCAACCAAAUGAAUCAUUUUAUUUAAAUCAAGUAAUCAGUAUGGCUUAUGAAUUUCUUAAAAGCUUGGCUCAUGCCAAAAAUUAUUAUCAUACUCAGUUAUUUGGGAUACCUUGGCCGAGGGCUAUCCCAACUGAGUCCGCCAAGGCUAUUAGAAAGUCAUGUACGCAUAAAUCAUGUUUUUAUUUUGAAAAAAUAGCCAUUCCUUGGCGUUGGCCAAGUUCCCCCUCAUGUGGUGGUUUAGCGUGAAGUGAACUCGAAAAGUUAUACCUCAGGAGUUACCUUACUCCCCUCUCCAACCGAGGUAAAAAUAUAACAAGAUUCCGUGCCCCUCUAAUAGGCUAGUCCACAGAACCCAGCCCACUGCAGCAGGUCAAACCCACCAUACAAUAAAAUUUUGACAACAUAACAGGGCUAAUAUAUUACUACCCAACUUGCAAGGGUAAAAUAAACUAAUUCAUACAAUUCAUAAAAACCCAACCCAGCCAGUCAUGCCAAUAUAAUAACAUAAGCCAUUAAUUCAAUUUUAAAUUUACAACAUAUCAGUGGUCUCAAAUUACUCUAUUUUCAAAAUCGUUAUUUCGUUUCAAGACAAUUUAUAAAUAUUUUCAUUUAAACUCAUUUUUGUUUAUAAAAUCUAAAAUUAGCUAUAUAACUCAUUUUCAUAAAAUUUCACCAAAACCAAAUAAAAACAUACUUUAGAUAAUUAAAAUGAUAAUAAGGUUACUCACAGUACUAGGAGUUCGAUAUACUCCUAUUCUCGAUCUUCAGGCACAAUCUCUUUACUCUUAUUAGAGGGUUCACCACCUAUAUAUCAUACGUGACACGAAUUUCAAUAAAUUGUGUCAAUUUAUCAUAAACUAUUUCAGGCUCUAUAAAUCUAUAUGAAUGCACAAAAUGUGAUGCAAAAUGUCCGAAUAGCAGUUUAAAUACGGUAUUCGACCUAAUUCGCACUAUUCUCGGUGUAAUUGGCUAAAAUCUCCAAUUUAACUCCAAAUCAAUUCUUAUCACUUUCUACACUCCAAUUAUACCUAAAUUACCCCAGUGACUGUGAAUGAGAUUCAAUUUAUCAGUCUCGGGUCAAUAAUCACACAUGUCUAUAUGUUGAGCAAAAAUUCAGAUUUUCACACUAAAAUUUUCCAUUUAAUUUCUAGCCUCACCAAAGAUCAAUUAUCACCCGAAUAUCAUGAAAUAUCAUCAAUUUUAGCCAUAAUAUCCUCCUUAGAAAAUUUGGCCAUUGAUGGUUGAUGGGAAAAAUGAAUUCUUUUCUUGUUGUUUUGUUUCUAAAUAUGCUAAACUAACUAAAAACACUAACAUAACUUAAAAUCAAAUCAAUCUAACAUCUUUCUCUCUCCAUACCCAUUUUGACCAGCCACCAUGAAUUCAUCAUGAAAACAUGUAAUUUAACCAUGGAAAAUAAGGAGAAAUGCAUGGGAAAGGUAGAUCACAAGUCAAAAUCAAGAAAUUUUACCUUUGAUUGUUUGAUUACUUGAAAUCCACUAAUUUUCCCUUGAAUUUUUCCACCUGGGGUUCUUUUUUUUCUUUUCUUCCUUUUGUUUUCCUUUGGCCGGCCAUAUGAAGAAAAUGGGCUAAUUUUAUGCUAAAUUUAAAGUUAAAUAAUAAAUGGUUAUAAACUUGACACAUGUCACCUUAUUAUUGGUCCAUGUGUCAUUUCUGAACUAUUAAGCUUUCUCUCUCCACCAUACAAAUUCCUUCAAUUAUCCAUGAUAAUAUUGGGUAAAAUUCAUGUGCUAGAUAAGUGUUGGGUGUGAAAUUACAAUUUUGCCCUUAGGGUGGCAAAAUUACCAUUUUACCCCUAUGCUUCGAAAAAUACCGAGAUUACAAAAUUUUCACUUUUCAACCUCAAAUCAUACUCCAAUAAGUCAUAUAUGAUCAAAAUCUUUCAAAAAAAUUUCCCAUUUUGUCCUCGAGUGUCAAAAUUACUAUUUUACCCCUGGAUAGUUUACGAGUAUUUAGUCUACAUUCAUACAAAUGAAUAGUCUAAGAGGACAAUACAUAGACUAGAAAAUAUGUUGAGGCCUUGCAUGGUUGAUUUUGGCAUUACAUGGGAUCAGUACCUACCACUUGUGGAGUUCACAUACAAUAACAAUUAUCAAGCUAGUAUACAUAUGGUGCCAUAUGAGGCUUUGUAUAGGCGGAGGUGUAGAUCGUCCAUUGGUUGGUUUGAGAAUGGGGAAAGAUAGCUUUUAGAAUCAAAGUUAGUCUAAGAUGCCACAAAUAAGAUAUAGGUGAUCCAUUAGAGGAUGAGAAUGACACAAGGUAGAUAGAAAUCAUAUGCUGAUAAUAGACAAAGUGAUUUCGAGUUUCAAGUGGGAGAUUAUGUGUUCUUAAGAGUCUCAUUGAUUAAAGGAAUCAUGAGGUUCAACAAGAAGGGGAAAUUGAGCUCAAGAAACAUUAGACCUUUUGAGAUCCUUGAAAGAGUUGGUGUAGUGGCAUAUCGACUAACAUUCCCUCUACACCUCUCUAGCACACAUUCGGUGUUCCACAUGUCUACACUUCAGAAGUACAAUCUUGAUCAUUCUUGUUACUGUAGUUAGCUUAAUGCAUUAAAUACUCAUAAAUGGGUGGAUUGGUAUUUUAAAAAUUUUCUUUGCAAGCUUAAUGAAAAAUAACCAGUUUUUGAAAAACAAAUUUUUUUCUUAUGUCAAAAGCAAAGCAAGUGAUUUUUCUUUAAAGCAAAUAUUAACAAUAAAUCACAAGGCAUAAAAGUAAAUCAAGAAACAAGGAUUUUUAUAGAGGUUCGGCUUUCUCAAAUGCUUACAUCCAUUCCCUUGUGUCAUGAGCCAACUUUGUAUAGGGCUAUGACAAGGUAGAAUUCUUUAAAAGAUUAAUAGCAUGUUUAGUUCACGGAACGAUAGGAAUGGAAUAGAAUAGCUAUUAUGUGGUAAUAGAAUGAGGUGAGAAUAGAAUAAAAUAGGUAUUACGUAGUUUGGUAAAAUGAAUGGAAUAUGGCAGGAAUAAUUAUUAUGAUUUAUUGUAGCGUUUGGUUGGUAACAAUAACUUUGGAAUAAGAAAUGAAUAGAAAAUAAAAAGAUAAAAAUACCCUUUACUAUAUAUAUAAUUAUUUUAUUUUAUCUUAUUUUUAAAUAUUAAUAUUUUAUUUAUAAUCUAAUCAUUAGUAUUAAAAAAUACUAAUAUUUUAUUCAUAAUUUAAAUGUUAUUAUGAUUAUUUAUUUUUAAAUUAUUUUAUUUUUAAACAUUAAAAAUGUAUAAUUUAUUUAAAAAUAUNNNNNNNNNNNNNNNNNNNNNNNNNNNNNNNNNNNNNNNNNNNNNNNNNNNNNNNNNNNNNNNNNNNNNNNNNNNNNNNNNNNNNNNNNNNNNNNNNNNNNNNNNNNNNNNNNNNNNNNNNNNNNNNNNNNNNNNNNNNNNNNNNNNNNNNNNNNNNUAAUAAUAUUUUAUUUAUAAUUUAAAUUUUAUUAUGAUUAUUUAUUUUAUUUAAUUUUUAUCUUUUAAAUAUUAAUAAUUUAUAUAUAUUUUUAAAUAUUAAUAAUUGAUUAUUUAAAUAUUAAUAUUUUUAUUUAUAAUUUAAUCAUUAAUAUUAUAAAAUACUACUAUUUUAUCUAUAAUUUAAAUGUUAUUAUGAUUAUUUUAUUUUUAUUUUAUUUUAAAAUAUUAAUUAAUUUAUAAUUGAUUUAAAAUAUUAAUAUUUGGUAAUUUAAUUUAUAAUUUAAAUAUUAUUAUGAUCAAAAUAUUAACACUUUUAAUUAAUUUUUAAAUUUAAAAUAUUUUAUAAUAUAUAAUUAAUAACUUAACCUUUUUAUUCUAAUAAGAUUUAUUUUUCUCUAUUUGCAUUUUUCAUUUUUUUGAUUUAAAUUUCACUUAAUAAUUUAAAAAUUAAUAUUUUAAAAUAUUAAUUUUUUAUUUAUAAUUUAAAUAUAUUAUUAUUAAAAUAUGAAAAUAUUAAUAAUUUUUAAUUUUAAUUAAAAAUAUUAAUUUUAUAAGUUUAAGUUUGUAAUUUUAAAAACAAAUAAGGACAUUUUAGUCCAAAAUAUUUAAAUUUUAUUCCCAUGGUUGUGGAAUAGCUAACACCAUGUGGGAUGAUGGUAUUAGCUAUUCCAAGCUUUUACCCAAUUUUAAAGAAUAGCCAUUCAUUUUGGAAUGGCUAUUCCUUCCCCACAUGCAAACCAAACAAGGGGAUAAAAUUUUGUAAGGAAUAGAGGGGGAAUGGCUUAGCUAUUUCCCCAACCAAACGUGACCUAAGUCUGUUAUACUCUGAGGGAGAUGUCCCCCUUUUCAAUCAUUGUAAUGGCUUUUGGUAAUAUCUCUAGAAAUGCUUGUUAAGUCUUUAGGAGGGAGACUCUUUCAGAAAGGAAUGUCCCCAUCUCAAGCAUUGUAAUGGCUAUUGGUGAAAUACUUGUAAAAUCUUAUAAACUCUUGAUAAAGGGUGAGCAGUUGGUAGGUUGUUAGUUUGUCUCACUAGUUCAAGUGCAUUGGUGGCUAACCAUUUAAGGCUGCCUCUAUGGCCAGACGAUGUCACGUUCCUUCUCUUGGUCCCUUUGUACUUAUUUGCAAUAUUAAUAAAAUAUUUUCUUUUAUAAAACACCAGUGGUUGCAUAUAAGGCAUUUGGUAUGCUUUUUGAUUUUAAUAUUUUUUUCCAUGACUUAACUCAUGGCUGUUAUUCAUCUUGUUCAGAUAUAAUCGAGCAAUUGGUUGGCUUGAGUGGAAACGUCCACCGAGCGCCAUACGGACUAUCGUGUAUUUAAGCAAAGAGGGCGUAGUCCGUGAUAGUUGGCAUCAAAGCAUGGGCGAGAUGUGCUAAGUGAAAGAGUAAACAUGGUGACCACACGAAGUUCACCAGAGGACCAUUAGAGAAUUGAUGAGCUAAAGGCCACGGUGGCUGUAGUAAAAGCUCAAAUUGUCUUGUAUGAGAGAAUAGAUAAAAUUAAGACAAUUUAGCAAGAAUUGUAUAAGAUGAUUAAUACCUUGAGUGAUGAGACUAGGGAUGCUUUAGGUACUCUCCAAGGCGAGAUUAGAGAAUUGAAAACUCAUGUAAAUCUUUUGGUUAUUGUUAUAGGUAAUACCAGUCCAAGCUCAAGAGAUCGAGGUAAAAUAGCAAAAGUGCUGGAGCCCAAGCAAUACGAACGGGCCAAAGAAGCUAAGGAGUUGGAGAACUUUCUUUUUGGUAUUGAGCAGUAAUUUUAAGCUGUGCACACAGAGUCAGAGGAGGACAAAGUGGCGAUGGCUUCAAUGUAUCUUGUUAGGGAUGCGAAGUUAUGGUGGCAUUUCAAAUUCAUUGAUGGUGAGUGUUGUAUCAACACUUGGGCAGACCUCAAGUAAAAAUUGAAGAACUAGUUUUUCUUUGAGAAUGUUAAGUAUAUGUCGCGGUGGAAGCUGUGGGAGUUGUCAUAAACGGUAUCAGUGCGGGUGUUCGUGAGGAACUUUUCUACUUUAAUUUUAGAUAUCAGGGAUAUGACUAAAAAGGAUAAAAUGUUCUAUUUCCUCGAAGGUCUAAAACCAUGGGCGAGGACGGAGUUACAAUGACAGAAGGUACAGGAUGUGACUUCGACAAUGGUGACUGCCAAGCGCGUUACUAAUUAUAAUGAAAACUCUAACAAAAUGAAAGACCCUCCAUCUAGAACUAGCAGCUCUAGCUCAAACAGUGGGCAAAAUUCUAAGAGUUAGUAGGCCCUUGAGUGAAGGAGGCGACAAGAGACCACAUGUUAGAGACUCACCCUAAUCAAGAACAAACAAGCCAUGGAACUUCAAGCCAUGACCUCCAAUAUCUUGUUUUCUAUGCAAAGAAUUACAUCGAGUAGCUGAUUGUCCUUACCGGGCAACUCUUAGUAAGAUAUGCACUACUAAUGUUGAGACACCACCACCCCACACCCCAAUCAAAGAAGCUGAAGAAGAGCCAUCGUGAAUGGGUUCAAUUCAUUUCCUCAGCACCUUACAAGUGCAAUUAGAAAAGAUGGAGUAGAAGCCCUAACAGGGUCUAAUAUAUAUAGAGGUGUUGUUCAAUGAAAAAAAACAAAAACUAAAGCCAUGCUCGACACGAGGGCCUCAAACAACUUCAUCACCCUAGGAAAGACAAAGAGGUCUGAUCUUAAGGUUGAGAAAGACUUUAGAUAGAUGAAAACAAUUAACUCACUAGCCUUUGCUAUUAUGGGGAAUUCAAAAAAUGUGAAGAUCAUGAUCGGGUCUUGGGAAGGGAGUGUAAAUUUACUGUAGCUACUAUAGAUGACUUUGACUUUGCCUUUGGCUUGGAUUUUAUGACAAAGGCACAGGAUAUUCCAUUUCCUGUGGCUAGUUGCUUGAUGUUUUUUGGAAGACAACCAUGUGUGGUACCAGCUACAAUUUUACUUAAGAGUUGGAAGAAGGUUAUAUCAGCCAUUCAAUUCAAGAAGGGAAUUAAAAGAGAAGAAUUGCCUUAUGUGGUGAUGCUAAUCUACAAAAGUGGAGAAAGCCAUGAUCCAAUACUUGUAGGAGUAAAGUUAAUUUUGGAGGAAUUCAAGGAUAUAAUGCCAAAAUAAUUACCUAAAGCACUGCCACCCUGACUAGCAAUUGAUCAUGAGAUAAAACUACUUUUGAGAGUCAAACUUUCUGCAAAGGGGCCGUAUAGGAUGGCUCCCCUAGAAGUAGCGAAGCUAAGGAAGAAACUUGAUGAGUUGAGACAAGUGGGAUUUAUUCAACCUUUAAAAGCACAUUUUAGGGCAUCGGUACUAUUUUAGAAGAAACAAGACAAAAGUUUACGAUUGUGCAUGGACUAUCGGGCUCUAAACAAGGUCACAAUAUAAAACAAAUAUCCUAUUCCUGUAAUAGCAUAUAUGUUUGACCAGUUGAGUCGUGCAAAGUAUUUCUCCAAAUUAGAUCUUAGGUUUGGCAAUCAUUAAGUUAGAAUUGCUUAUGGGGAUAAACCAAAAACCACUUGUGUCACAUGGUAUGGCGCAUUUGAAUUUCUUGUUAUGCCUUUCAGACUAACUAAUGCUCCUACCACAUUUUACACAUUGAUGAAUCAAGUUUUUCAUGACUACCUGGACAAGUUUACGGUAAUAUACUUGGACGACAUCAUAGUAUACAGCUCAACACUAGAGGAGCAUCAUAAACAUUUGUGAAAGGUGUUUUAAAGGCUUCAGGACAAUCAAUUACACAUGAAGAGAGUGUUGGCUCCAUUAGUUUUUGAUGAUAAUAAAACAUUCCCAUUUAUUUGUGUUUAACACCUUACUUGAGUGUGCAAGAAAUUAAUAUAUGAAAUUAAUUUAUUAACUCUUCAAAGAGUAUUUUUGAUAGAAAAAGAGGGAUAAAAUCAACAAGAUGUAACUGAAUAACAUGGAGAAAGCUUAUUGAUGAAACAAGGAAGAACAUUGGUUGACCAAAUUUCAAAUUGGAGAAAUGACGGGCUGAAGAGUUUGAGAAACAGACUCAAUUUAGUCAACCAAGUCAGUCCACUAAGUGCUCUUUGCCAGAAUCUGCAAACCAGAAACAGAACCAACUUAGUUAACCAAGUCAGUUGACUAAGAAGUCUUUGUUUGUAAUUUGAACUAGAGCACUACAAGACAAAUUAACGGCUAGAACUCAUCCUCAACUGUUUCCAACGGCCAUAAACUGUCAAAUUGCUAUUAGAGUUGCAUCUCCAAGUAUAAAAGGGUCUUCCAACAAUGAGAAACAAGUUUUUUGAAGCCUUGAAUGAGAUUUGAGCUAUAUAAAAUAGAAAAAAAAAACCAGAAAAGCUUCACUGCACCUUACUGCACUUAAACGCCAAUCUUUGUAAUAGAGUUCGACACUUCAUCUUGUACCAUCUAGAUCAAGUAAGUGAUCAUAAGUACUUCUUUAUUACUUCUCUUGUAUUCUUAUAGUGAGGGAGUCACUCUAAGGGGUUGUUCAAGCUUGGGAUAGCUUGAUUGUUAAAGGUUGUGGUUGAGCCUUAGAAAACCACAUUGGGUUUUAGUUGAGCUUGUGAAAAACUAGUGUAAAAGGUUUUUGGCUGAGCUUGGUAAAAGCCAUUGUAAAGCUUGGUGAAAGCUUGUGAAUUUCACCGAUCCAUAGUGGAUUUGUGAGAAAAUCCUUGGUUGGAUAAUCAAGGUAGUGGAUGUAGGUCUUGGACCGAACCACUCUAAAUUACUUUGCAUUUAUACUUUAUUUUUGUUUUCUUAAGUUAUGAAAAUUAGUUCCCAACUUUGUCAAGAGCCAAAUUAUGCUAUUCACCCCCCCUCUAGCACAUAUUAUCGGGACCAACAGAGAGAGAAGUGUGCUUUUACGCAAACUUGAAUUCAAUUUCUAGGCCAUAUCAUUGAGCAGGGUUACAUUCAAAUGGACAUGUAGAAAGUGAAGGCCAUUAAGGAGUGGGCGACCCCUAAGAAUACAAUCGAACUUGAUCAUUCUUGGGGCUAGGUAAUUAUUACUAGAGAUUUAUGGAGGGCUAUUCAAAAAAGAUGGUGGUGCUCAUAAAAUUGCUAAAAAAAGGACAGAGAUGGACUUGGACACUACAGUACGAAGCAACUUUCGAAGGCCUAAAAUAAGUAAUGAUGAUAGACCUUGUUUUAGCCCUUUUAGGCAUCGAAAAGCCUUUUAAGGUGCAUGCAAAUGCUAUAGACUUUGCUCUUGGGGGAGUACUGUUACAAGAAAGACAUGUAGUUAAGUUUGAGAGCCAUAAAUUGAACGAAGCUGAGAGAAAAUACACGACACGGGAGGAAGAACUACUAGUAGUGAUUCAUUGUUUACGAGCGUGGUGACACUACUUGUUGGGAUCUCAAUUCAUGGUUUAGACAGACAACACCGCUACAAGCCACUUUCUUACACAGCCAAAACUUACAGUUAAGUAAGCGAGAUGUCAAAAGCUUUUGGCUGAGUUUGAUUUCUCUUUUAAGCACAAGCCAAAAGUACCAACUGUGUAGUAAAUGCCUUCAACAGAAAGGUCGAGUUCACAGCUCUUAGGGUGAUCACGCUAAUGACAGUCAACAAAGUGAUCAUAAUAUCCAUAAUCUUAUUGAAGAAAACUUGCAUCGAGAUCCAUAAGCAAUCGCCAUUAUAAAGUUGGUGAAGAGUGGAAAGUCAAAAUACUUUUGGGUGGAAAAUAAACUCUUACUAAUAAAAGGACCACGUGUAUUUGUUCCAAGAUCGGUAAAGUUGAGACAGAAGUUGAUGCUGGAAUGUCAUGACACCUCUUGGGUAAGACACCUAGCUUAGUAGCGGAACGUUAUAAUACUGAAACAAGGUUACUAUUGGCCUCAUAUGUGAUAGGAUGUGAUGGAUUAUACCAAGAUGUGCCUCCUUUUUCAACAAGACAAAGUGGAUAGACAAAGACCGAUUGGAAUGCUUGAACCUCUACCAGUGUUGACUAAACCAUGAGAAAGUAUUUCUUUAGACUUUAUAGUAUGACUUCCUAAAGUGGGAAAUGUGACAGCGAUCCUGGUAGUGGUAGACCAUUUCUCCAAGCUCGUGAUGUUCAUCCUAGUGUAGAAGUUUGGUUCCAUAGAAGAAACAACUUGUACAGUUUUUAAAAAUGUGGUAAAAUACUAGGGUGUUCCUACGAGCAUUAUUAGUGACAGGGAUCCAAGAUAUACUAGUUUCGUAUGGAAAGAGCUUUUCAAGUUAUUGAGGUCCAAACUUAACAUAUCUUUUAGUUUCUUUUGGAACAUUUCAACGGGUUUCUAGAAAAAUAUCUACAACACUUUGAAUAGGCGAACCAGAAGAAUGGGCCCAACCUGCUAGAUGUGGCUCAAUUAUGUUUUAAUUUGUAAAAUAGCUCAGCCACUAAUAAAACCCCUUUCGAAGUUGUCACUGGAUAGCAACAUAGACUUCCUCUUACCUCAGUGGAAUCAUAUAGUGGGAAGAGUCCUCGAGUGUUCAACUUUGCUAAAAAGUGGAGAGAAAACACUAACAUCCUCAGAGCUUAUUUAGAGAAAGCCUCUAGUUGCAUGAAAAAGGUAGAUAAAGGUCGAAGGGAGUAACACUUUAGGUGGGAGACCUAGUGUUAGUGAAGUUGCUACCUGAACAACUUUGAAUCUUAAGGAUGAGAGAUCGAAGACUAGUGUAGAAGUAUGAAGGUCUAAUAUUGAUUAUGGCCAAGGUGGGGAAAACUUCCUAUAGGAUUGAUCCGCCUAAGUGGAUGAAGGUACAUCCCGUGUUUCACAUCAGCAACCUAAAGCCGUUCCAUACAGAUCCAGCAGAUGCAAGCAGUAGUCAAGCCACGAGAACCGCCAUCAACACUUUCACGAUCCAAAUUUCGAGUCAUGACCUGCGCAUGGGCCCAGUGGACAUAGUCCACUAAGCCCAAGCAAGCCUAUUAAUCUGACAUGUUCAUCAUUCCAUCAUAAACUACUAAGUCAUAUAUCAUAACUUAGAAUCAAAAUAAUAUUAAGCAUUGCCACUUCAUACUAGCAUACCAAACAAGUGUAUAUACACUGUCUACAUAUGUAUCUUAAUAAUUCACAUUAGGUUCGUCUAUACACAACAAAAAGAGACUGGAUGUCCAACGGAGAGACUCGAACGAAUGUACAGCUACUGAAUGCCGAGACACCUACCAAAAGAUGGAUACAAGCCCACGAGGAUACCUCGUCUUAGUUACCGACUGUUUCUUAAUCUGAAAACAUGAAGUUAAAAGUGGUGAGCAUAAACUCAAUGAGUGAACAAGAAGGGAAUAAGCAUACCAUAAGGAAUGUUUAUCGAAAUCAUGAUGCACUCAUUUUCUCAAAACAAUGCAAUUUGUUCUAGUUCUUAAUAGAACCCAUCAUGUAAACCCCUCAUGAGUAAAUCACUUAAAAGAUCAAUACUCAACUAUGGUACCAAAGAAUCGAAAAAUAUAGCAAAACCCACAAGUUAGCCAAAAUGGAUAGAAAGUUUCUCGCUGCCGCAAACUUCAUUCUCGCUGCAGCGAGAACCAGGUCUGGUGAAGGCCCUCAAACCCGAGAGUUUCUCAUUGCAGCGAGAGUCAGAACAUAAAGGAAAAAGUCUCAUUUUCCUUUAAAACAAGCCAUCCUGCUAAAAUAACAAUAGCAACAUGUAACACAUGUAAACUCCCCAAAUUUCAACAAAUCAAAUGCUCACAUAUUUGCAUUUACAACCAUAUACCAUAUAUGUAUAUAUAUAUAUAUCAUCAUGUACACCCUCCCAUCAUCAUCAUCUCAUAUGCAACGGCUUAUNNNNNNNNNNNNNNNNNNNNNNNNNNNNNNNNNNNNNNNNNNNNNNNNNNNNNNNNNNNNNNNNNNNNNNNNNNNNNNNNNNNNNNNNNNNNNNNNNNNNNNNNNNNNNNNNNNNNNNNNNNNNNNNNNNNNNNNNNNNNNNNNNNNNNNNNNNNNNNNNNNNNNNNNNNNNNNNNNNNNNNNNNNNNNNNNNNNNNNNNNNNNNNNNNNNNNNNNNNNNNNNNNNNNNNNNNNNNNNNNNNNNNNNNNNNNNNNNNNNNNNNNNNNNNNNNNNNNNNNNNNNNNNNNNNNNNNNNNNNNNNNNNNNNNNNNNNNNNNNNNNNNNNNNNNNNNNNNNNNNNNNNNNNNNNNNNNNNNNNNNNNNNNNNNNNNNNNNNNNNNNNNNNNNNNNNNNNNNNNNNNNNNNNNNNNNNNNNNNNNNNNNNNNNNNNNNNNNNNNNNNNNNNNNNNNNNNNNNNNNNNNNNNNNNNNNNNNNNNNNNNNNNNNNNNNNNNNNNNNNNNNNNNNNNNNNNNNNNNNNNNNNNNNNNNNNNNNNNNNNNNNNNNNNNNNNNNNNNNNNNNNNNNNNNNNNNNNNNNNNNNNNNNNNNNNNNNNNNNNNNNNNNNNNNNNNNNNNNNNNNNNNNNNNNNNNNNNNNNNNNNNNNNNNNNNNNNNNNNNNNNNNNNNNNNNNNNNNNNNNNNNNNNNNNNNNNNNNNNNNNNNNNNNNNNNNNNNNNNNNNNNNNNNNNNNNNNNNNNNNNNNNNNNNNNNNNNNNNNNNNNNNNNNNNNNNNNNNNNNNNNNNNNNNNNNNNNNNNNNNNNNNNNNNNNNNNNNNNNNNNNNNNNNNNNNNNNNNNNNNNNNNNNNNNNNNNNNNNNNNNNNNNNNNNNNNNNNNNNNNNNNNNNNNNNNNNNNNNNNNNNNNNNNNNNNNNNNNNNNNNNNNNNNNNNNNNNNNNNNNNNNNNNNNNNNNNNNNNNNNNNNNNNNNNNNNNNNNNNNNNNNNNNNNNNNNNNNNNNNNNNNNNNNNNNNNNNNNNNNNNNAAACAAGAUUUUCAUCAUUUUCAAGGGUUUUAAAGUGAGAGAGUGGAAGAAUACAAGGGUUCUAGUCAAAAGGGCACCAAGGUAUGAAAAUUAGAACUAGAGAGAGAAAGUUAUGAAAGCUUCACAUCAAGCUUCCAUGGAAGAAUUGAAGAAACAUGAAAAGGAAGAGAACAAGAAGAAGAAGCUGCUAGAAAUCCUAAGAAGUUGCUAGAAGGAGAGGAUAUUUAUGGCCCAAGCUUAUCCACUCCCUUGGAAAUUACUAAAAUGCCCCUCCAUAAAUUAGCUUAAUCCUUGAAAUCCCACACUUUUUCUUAAAUUUUCCCACCUAGGGUUUGUGUUGUUUCCUUUCCUCUUCACUUCAUGCUUUGGCCAACCAUAUGGGUGAGACUAAGAGAGUUUUAAAUAGAUUUUACAAGAAAAUUCUAGAAUAAUCCAAGCUUGACACAUGGCAUGUUUCCAUUGGUCCAUGUGUAGUACUUAUCCAUUAAGCAAUCUCUCUCCACCACAUAAAAUGUUUCAAUUAUCCACAAUGUAAAAUGUUAAUGGCUGAAAUCCAUGGGCAUGACAAGUGUCGGGUGGUGUAAAAUUCCAAAAAUUCCCAUUUUAUCCUCGGAUGACAAAAUUACCAUUUUGCCCUUAGAACAUGAAAAUCAUCAAAAUUUUUAUUUCCUUGUCAUUUCACCCAUAUUUUCAUCAUUCAUUUAUGCUUUAGGCCUACUUAAGCUAUAAUAUUGUUUAAAACUUACUUUUAUGGGCUUAUUGAGAAAAUGACGAAAUUACCCCUAAUUAGGGAUAUCGCGUAUAUUUCUAUCUAUGAGUCUAUAAAGGUCAAGGUCUCACAAACACCAAGCCAUCGUCACAGUACAAAGUAGAAAAGAUUUUGGCAAAGAGGAUGAUGAUAAUCAACUAAUGACCAACGUAGGAGUAUCUAGUGAGAUGGGAAGGUUUGGGACCAGAUGAAAUCACUUGGGAAAAAUAAGCCAAUCUUCGUGCCUUCAAGUAGAAGAUUGAAUAAUUCCAAGCCAACCAUUCAAUAAGGACGUCGACAAAUUAAAUGGGGGAAGAUGUCAUGAGCCAACUUUGUAUAGGGCUAUGACAAGGUAAAAUUCCUUAAGAGAUUAAGUCUUUUGUACCUCUAAGGGAGAUGUCCCCCCUUUCAAACAUUGUAAUGGAUCUUGGUGAAAAAUCUAAAAAUACUUGUUAAGUCUUUAGGGGAGAGAGCUUUUAGGAAAGGAAUGUCCCCAUCUCAAGCAUUGUAGUGGCUACUGGUGAAAUACUUGUAAAAUCUUGUAAACUCUUUAUAGGGGUGAGAAAUCAACAGGUUGUUGGGCUGUCUCACUAGUUCAGUUGCCAUUUAUGGCUAACCAUCUAAGGCUGCCCUUAUGGGUUGACAAUGGCACAUUCUUUCUUUUGGUCCUCUUGUGCUUAUUUGCAAUAUAUAACACUGGUGGUUGCAUAUAUGGCAUUCGGUAUGCCUUUUUUAUUUUAAUAUUACUUUCCAUGAAUUAACUCGUGGCUAUUAUUUAUCUUGUUUAGAUAUAAUCAAGCAACUGGCUAGCUUGAGCGGAAGCAUCAACCCAAGUGUUGCACGAACUAUCUUGUACUUAAGCGAAGAGGGCGUAGUCCGUGACACCUUAGCUCACCAAGGAAUUUCCAAUCCACUAAAAGGAUUCUUUCUUUUUAAUGGGAUCAAGUGAUAACCUUUACAGUUGUUUUUUCAUGGGAUUAAGGGUUAUACAUAUGCUUUUAACAGGAUCAAGGGUUAUACAUAUGCUUUUUAACGGGAUCAAGCGAUAACCCUUAUACUUGCUUUUUCAUGGAAUCAAGCGAUAACUCUUAUACUUGCUUUUUCAUGGAAUCAAAUGAUAACCCUUAUACUGGCUUUUCACGAGAUCAAGUGAUAACCCUCACAUUAACAUUUUAAGGUUAAGUUAGAACUUUUACAAAUGUGUGUAUAAUGGAGUAAUAGCAAAGAUUUGCCUCACAAAGGUCGAGUGCUAAAGAUUUAUGUUUUGGUGUACAAAGAGAAGAAAUCAAUCUCACAACAUCAGCUCAAGAUUUACAAGUGUAAAGCUUAAAUGGCUUUUGAAUGCUUGUUAGAAGACUAAGAUGAAUGCUUGAGAGGAAAGAUAAGCUUGAGGGUUUGUCUAGGGUUUUUACACUUUGGUACUGUCUUUUCUUACUUCAAAAUAAAUCAAGAGUACCCUUGUAUAGUCUCAAGGAUAUUUAAAGCUGUUAGAUACAAGUUUUAAUUAAAUCUGGUCAUUUCUAAAGCUUGGGGGUCGACUAUGACUCUUUAAGGGUAGUUCUUCAAAAUCUCAAAUUAGGGCUUCCAUACUCGACUCUUUAGGUCUUCUACUUAAUCCACUUAUAGCAGCUUGUGAUUUUUGAAGUCUGACUUGGUGUAGUCAACUAUAGGUGCUUGAAGGUUGACUAUGGCUUCUCAAAUCAUUGAUUCUUGCGAGUGUUUUGCUUCAGGGUUGAAUAUAGCUUCAUCAGGGUCGACAAUGAUGUCAAAAUAAGUCAAAAGUAGCUUUUUAUAGUCUUAAGGAUAUUUGGAGCUGUUAGACACAAGUUUGAAUUAAACCUGGUCGUUGCUGAAGAUUGAAGGUCAACUAUGACAUUUCGAGGGUCGACUAUGGUUCUUCAAAAUCUCAAAUUAGGGCUUCGAUACUCAACUCUUGAGGUCUUCUACUUAAUCCAUUUCCAAAAGCUUGUGAUUUUCGAAGUCUGACUUAGUGUAGUCAACUAUAGGUGCUUAAGGGUCGACUAUGGCUUCUCAAAUCAUCAAUUCUUGUGAGUGUUUUGCCUCAGGGUUGACUAUAGCUUUAUCAAGGUCGAUUGUGGUUGCUUAAAUCUUGAAUUGUACUUGUAUUUUGUCUCAAGGUUGGCUAUGGCUUCAUGUCUUUGUGAUUUUUCAUCCAUUCUUGCCACAAGAUUGACCAUAGAGCUUAUAGGGUCAACUAUGCCUUCUAUAUUUCAUAAUUCUUUAGUCAGUCUUCAACCAUUCUGCCACAAGGUCGAUUAAAGCUUUGUUAGGGUCGACUCUUGCCUUGUGUCAUCAAUAUUCCUUGACUUUUUGAUUAUUCACUUUAACUAUUUCUUCCAUGCUUCUUUUCUAUGAUUAAAUAUCAGUUGAAGCAUGUUUGCUUUAUAUUUACUUGGUUGAUGACUCAAUGUUUUGAAAAGCUUUGUGAUGUUUUCUAAUCAUGAAUUUGCUUUCCAAACAUUUGUAUAACCUUAAGAGGAUCAAAACAUGAUAUUAGUCAAUUUCAAAUGCUUAAGAUCAAAACCAAGAUAUUAUACAAUUUUGUCAAAUUGAAAGAUCUCUACCUAGGUCCAUUAAUCUCUAAGCCUUUGUUUGAAAACUUUAAGCUCAAGUGAGAAAGAUAUACAAAUGAAUAAGAACUUUUAACAAAAUCUCCUCCUCAACCUAUGCAUGAAGUUUCAAAAAGUUCAAAACAUUUAAGCUUUACCAAGAGUAUACAAGAGCAUUUUAAUCUGCUUAUAAAUCUUCUCCCCUUUUUUGUUAUAUAAAUAAGGUUAAGAAGUGUGAGUUUUAAACACUUAAACUCAAGAGGCAAUUAUUAGUGAAAAUAUAAAAAAUAUAUACGCAAUAAGAUCAAGGAUAUCUAACCAUCAAUCCAAAGCAUUACUAAGUCAAGAUAUAUUUCCAUUCAAUAUAUUCUCAAUCAAAACAUAAAGAAAUAUAUCCAUUCAUCUAAAGCAAAUAGCAACAAAUCAAGAUAUUUCUCCAUGUAAUGUAUUUCCAAGUGAGGCAUGAACGAGUAUAUCAACAUGUAGAUAUAUAUCAUUAAUCAAGGAAGCCACACACACACACACACAAGCAAAAUCAUGUGAGCAUUACAUCCUUAAAGUUCAUGAAAGUACUUCAUUGAAUAAGGUGCAAGUCUUGUAUAAUAUGAAUAAUAUAUAAUGUAGCAAAAAUACAAUAUGAUAACACAUGUACACAAAUGUAUUCAUAUAAAAAAUUGAUCAAAUAGUCAAAAAAUGCACCGAAAGGAUUAUCAACAAAUAACAUCAUUAGUUAGUCAAACUGUUUAAAACAUAUAGAUCAAUCAAUCAAAUAUACAAUGCACCAAAUUCAUUAUAAAAAGGAUAAGAAGCAUACUCAUGGUAUAUUUCAUCAUUUAAGCACAAGUAUGAGAUAUUGAUAAGUACAAGGUUAAUACGGAGUUUGAAAGAUAUCACCAUUUGAGAAAAACUCUAUUUGUUAAUUUUCGUUAAGCUCAUUAUUGAAGAUUUCAAGUACACAUGAGUCAUAAGAUAAUAUCGAUGAUCAACUCCCCCUUAAAAGUUCAUUACCCUCAAUACUAACAAGAUGAACAUAAAACAUCAAGGUGAAGGGGUAAAGUAUCCAAUCACGUUAUAACAUAAUCUGAUCCUCCCUUAGAUGGAUCAAGAGAUCAAAGAAUUGUUAGGGAUUUAAGGAUUAAUCAUGAGCAUGCGAUAAAUGAGUAUUGUGAGACCCUGUCAAACUCGAUUAAAACACGGUAUUGUACCGAGUGGUACAACUAAGUUAAAUCGAGCCUUGAACUAGUUCAAAUAGAAAUUCUAAGAGGAAAUUGAAAAUUUUGAAAGCCACAGAAUGACUUAGAAUAGUGAUUCGGAAUUCAAAGUCCAAUUUGAAGUCCAUCAGAAAAAUUNGUCGUGACAAGUAUGUAAUUUGAUGUUCAACAUGUAGGUGUAAUACUCAAAUAUUCAUGGAACUAAGAAAGCAUGAGUAUCUAAAUAGAUAUUUGAUAUAUGCAUCAACUACUCAUAUUCUCAAGAUAUAUGUGCAACGUAGUUCCUAGGUAAAUCCAAGAUGUUUUGCACUUGUUGCAAUCAUGUAGAGCAAUAUUAUGACCAAUUAAGCACAAGCAUGAUUUCACUUUCCAAAAUGAAUAAAUAGUCAUGUAUUUAAAUGUGCAAUCAUUAAAGUUCAAGGUACAUGCUAUUUCUCAAUGCUUUAUGAUUCAUGAGUGAUAUCAAUUGUUAUGAAAUAUUAGAAAUAAAGCACGCAACUCAUGAAUAUAUUUAACAUAAGCAUCCAAUCAUCAAUGAAUGUCAAUUAUCAAGAUUCAAGAAAUAAGUAUUCAGUCAAAGCUCAUUAGGCAUUCAUUGUUAACUCAAGUUAUAGGCCAUUUUCAUUUUAAACUUCAAGUUAUUCAUAGUAACCUAUAAGCUAAAGUUCGAUGCACAUAAAGUCUUAGAAUCAUGUAAAAAUUUAAGCUCAUGGAAUACAUAGUCAAGAUUCAAGUGCAUGUUCAAAAAAUAUUUCAACUAUGUCAACACACUAUAUGUCAAGUCAAGUUUUGAUUUUGAUUAAUAGGGUCAAGCAUUAUUAAUUAUCAUGUAAGCAUGUGACUUGACCAAAAUGAUAGAUGAACCAAAAAUAAUUUUCAUGACGUUCAAUGAGCUCAUUUUAAUCACAUUCAUAUGCACAAUCAAGAAGUUAAUUUUGAAUCAUUUAAUCAAACCCAAACAUAAGAUAUAUUUCAAGAAUUGAUUCUAGACUAAGCAUUUGAACAUUCAAAUUCUCAAGAAAUGAUUUUUCAAUGUAAGCACAAGAGUUUCACAUUACUUAAUUUUUUUUUUCAAUUAUGCUCCAAAUUAUUUAUGAGGUAUGGGCGUAAUGAAAUAUAUUUAUGCAUAUUAAUGAUCAUUUCCAAAUAUCUCAUAAUCAUGAACUAAAAAUACCCUUAUGACUAUUCAAAUUUGCUAGUGACCACAUGCAUUCAACUAGGAAACAAAAUUAUUCUAUCCAUCAAUCAAUAUAUUUAAUUCAAGGAAGAGUGAACAAAUAAUUAUGCACUUUGAUACUCAAGCAAGACUAGGCAAUCAAAUAUCUUUAAUUAAAUAAAUAAAUAACUUUUGGUAUAGAAAUCACUGUUAGCUUUAAAAUUAUUAUAGUUUUGAUUAUGACAAAAUGAUCAAAUUUGCUUGAACAUUAUUUGAGUAAUCCUUGACAAUUUCUUGAAAUGAUUUAGCUCCCAUACAUUUGUUCUUACAUAGUUACAAGCUUGACUCUUGAGGUUAUUGAACUAUAUCUAAAAGCUUGUAUGACUUAGGUGUAUGAGUGCUUAUGAUUCCCAUUCAUUAAAGUUUGAUUUAAAGAUUAAAGGAAAAUUUAGAUGCACUCAUUAAAGGGAAGUUUGGAAUAUCAUUUUUAAUGAUAACAAAAAAAAGAGAAGGAAGACUAAGUUAAAUAGAGUUUGAUAGGUCUUCAUGUUUAAUUUUUAUGUGUGAUGCUUAGUUAUGGUUUUGUUGAAUAUUAUGUGCCAGUUAUUAUGGAUAUUCAAUAAAUCUUGCUUAGUUACUAUGGAUAUCGUAUAUCUUAUUUAACUAUUAUAGAUGUUAUAAAUAUUUUAUUGCAAAUCUUUAAAGAAAACUAGAUGCAUUAACUAAGGAGAAGCAACUCAUUAUGCAUAAAGAUUUGAAGCAUUCAUAUUGAACAUAGACAUUGCACUCUUAACGAGGAGUGUUUUGUCAUCAUCAAAAAUAAGAGAGAGAGAAUGUUGACUCCAUAUGUUUUUGAUGAUAGCAAAACAUUCCCAUUCAUUGUGCCUAAUUAUAUUGUUUAAGUGUGCAAGAGAAAGCAAGUCAAGAUGCUUGUUCAGUUGCAAGAUGGGUUAAUUGGUCAAACAAGCAAAAAAGAAAUAGCUUUAAUGAAGACAGAUUAGUCUUAACCGAUUAACACAAAUCCUUAAUCAAUUAAAGCAAUUCUGGGCAAUACACUAAGGACAGAAAGAAAAGGCUUAAUUGGUUAACAUAAGGUUUAAUUAGUUAAGAGGGUGCUAGAUGUAAACUAGAAGCCUUUUAAUCGGUUAAAGGAAAUGAGUUAACUGGUUAAAGGUUAAAGAUAAAGUGUCAAGAAGCGCCAAAAUUCAAAUUCAAAAUAUUGAUGACCGUCCAAGGCACCAAACCAAGAGAUUUAAAGUUGAAGACUUCUUAAUUGGUUGGAGCCCAUUUUAAUCAGUUAAGGAUGAAUGGAGAAGCUUCAAUCAAUUAAAUGGAGUAUUAAUCUGUUGAAUGGAGGUUGGCUAAAAAUAGUACUUGAAGGUGCUUGAAACAAAAAGUUGUUAAGUAGUUAAAGCUACUUUUAAUUGGUUAACAUAGAGAAACAGACUAUGAGAUAGAGAUGACUUAAUCGACUAAAAAUUAUGGUUAACCAACUAAAAGCUCACUAUCUGAAAUUUGAAUUUAAGCACAAAAGGACAAAAUAACGACCAGAAAUGACUAGUUUCUGUCUUCAAUGGCUAGAAGUGAUUUUGCAAGUAUUUAAAGCCUCUCCAACAGUCAAAAAUGAUAUAGAGAAGUUAUCCAAAGUGAUUUUGAGCAUAAAAGACCAAAAACCUUAUCUUUACACUUGCAAAUCACUCCCAUCCUUUGAAAAAGUGUUUGAGCUUAACUUUGUACAUCUUAGAUCAGCUAAGUGAUUAAUUGGACUUCAUCUUUUCUCUAUUUCUUGCUUACUUAGAGUGUGCGAGGCACUUUAAAGGGUUGAUCAAGCUUGGGUUAGCUUUGUUGUUGUUAUAGGUUCUAACUUAGCCUUAGAAAAUUUAAUUUUGGGUUUUCGUUGAUCCAGUGAAAAACCAUUGUUAACAGAUGUGGCUAAGCCUAUAAAAAGCCAUUGUUUUUUGGGUUUUGGUUGAUCCCGUGAAAAAUCAUUGUUAAAGGUUGUGGUUGAGCUUGUGAAAAGCCAUUGUAAAAGCCUGGUGGAAGCUUGGGAAUUUCGUUGAUUUUAGUGAAUUGGUUUGAAAAUCCUUGAUUGAGAGAUCAAGGUAGUGGAUGUAGGUCAACGGGACCGAACCACUAUAAAUCAUUGUGUUUUGUCUACUUUCUUUUAUUUUCUUCUUACUCUUAGCACUUAAAUCAUUCCUUCAGCAAGCUUUAAACUUCCAUUUUCAAAUUCCUUUAAUUAGCUCUUUACUUGGAAAGAAUUUUUGUGUCAUUCCAAAAGUGCUAUUCACUCCCCUUUUAGCACUCUAUUUCGGACCAACAAUCACUAGCAUUCCUUUAUUUGUCAAGGUGCAUUCUUUUUCAAGAGCUCGUUCCUCCUUGUUCUAGCACAUUUAUAGAAAAUAUUCUCAUUUGAUUUUUGGUAUCCAAAUUUCUUUGGAUCCUUGAGGAUUAGUCUCAACAAACAUAUGCAUAAAGACAGUAUUUAAACAUUGAAGAUAAAUCAAAUAAUAAGUGCACUAAAAUAAUGAAUUCAUGAAAUUUCAUACUUCUAAUGUCUUUCAUUUCCUUUCACAAUACUUUUCAAUUUUCAAUUUUCUUCUUCUAAUCGAUCAUAAUUUCUUUUAAGCAUUUCAACAUCAAUUUUUAGCAAAUUGUCUUCUUCCAUCAAUGAUUAAUUUUCAGUCCUAAGCUUUCAAAUAAAACAAAUGCAACCGCAACCUUCCUUUCUCUUGCGAUGACUUCCCUCUAUUUCCAUCUUCAACCUAAACUUUGGCCAUUGGAUGGAUGGCGAAUCCACUAGGCAAAAUGCCAGUGACAUCUCCACCAUCGAUAUCCCCACGAACCCUAAAAAAUCUUUUUUUUUUCAAUAACAACCAAUGAAAAAAAACCCAUAAUUCCCAUUACUUGAGCCCCUAAAUGUUACAAAGACAAACCUAUAGUGGUUUUCUUUUUAGAUAAAAUUAAAGUAGUUUCUCAAUCGUUUAAGGAUUUUGUCAUUCGAAAGUUCUAUUGAGUGACAAGGAUUGAAGAGAUAAGACAACCUUUCAAGGAGAUCGGAUUUCUAGUGUCUAUAAUAUCUGUUGGCUUAAUUAUAAACAUAUACUUAUCCACUAGACAAAUGAACAUGAUUUCAAGAGAAUAUGAGCAAAACAGAUAUGGUUUAUCUCAAACCAAAAAAAGAGAAUGUUCAAGUGGAGUUCGAAUUUCAAUUUAAAAAAAGAAUCCUCCAUCAUUCUAGUUUGGAUUUCAUUCCCAAAUGACCCACAUCUCUUUGAAAAGUUUGCUCUAAUGGUAUUUGCAAAAAUGAUUAGAAAUCCUCUUUAUGUAGAUGAGUUUAUUGCAAAUGAAACAAGACCUAGCAUUGCAAGAGUUUGUGUGGAAUAUGAUUGCCUAAAACUGCUAGUUGACUUAAUUUGGAUAGUAAUCCGUGAUCACCAAACAAGCAUGAAUUUAGGGGGUUAUUAUAGUACCUCGUACUUUGAGGUGGUUGCUAAUAAUGCUUACUGGCUGCUAAUUGAGGUUGAUUAUCGAGAAAAAGGGGUAAUUCAUAAGUGAACCUGUGAAACCCCGACCUCUAUAGACACGUAACUAGAAAUAGACGCGAUAAAAAUGACUAGGGGUAAUUUCAUCAUUUUCUUUAGUGAGCCCUUAGAAGUAUGCUUUCAAACAUUAUUAAGGCUUAAGUAGGCCUAAGGCACAAAUGAAUGAUGAAAAUAAGGAUAAGAUGACGAAGGAAAUAGAAAUAAUGAUGAUUUCCAAGGUAGGGGCAAAAUGGUCAUUUUGCAUCUCGGGUCUAAAUUUUUAAGUUUUCGUGAACUUGAGUACUUCUUGACCAUUAUGGACUUUGUCUCAGUGUCUAAAGAGUAAAAAGUUGAACUAAAGGAAAGAAAAAGACAAAGUCACCUUAUGGAGGGCAUUUUGGUAAAUUACAUGAAAAAUUGGAUAAACUUUAGAUAUAAAUAUCUAAAGCUCCAGCAACUUCCAGCAGCUUCUAGCCAUUUCUUCUUUCCUUCCCAUCUCACGUUUCUUCAUCUCCAUGGGAGCCUCCCUUAAAGCUUCCAUAGCUUUCUCAAAUUAACUUCAAUUUACAUGCUUUGGUGCACUUUUUCAUAGAACCUUUGGUGCUUUUUCACUCUCUCACCUUAAAACCCUAAAAAGUCUUUCUUUAGCACUUUCUCUCACUAGUUGGAAGUUUUAGAAAAAGAAAGAGAGACUUGCCAUAGUAGCUUAAAAACUCUUGAAAAGGAGUUCAACUACAAGUCCACAAGGUGAAAGAAGAGUUAGGGUUGAUUUUAGGUGGUUAAAGAUGGCUAAUAAUUAGAAUUGUGGGCUGUUAUAUUUUGAUGGUUAUAUUGUGUAUGAUAUGCUCCAACGAGGCCUCACAUGUCCAUUUGAAGCAAUAAUCGAAGUUAGAGUCGAUUAAAGAUUCAACAAAUACAGGUGAGUGAACUUGCAUCAAAGUGUUUUUGGAAAAUACAUAUGUGUUGGGAUGAAACAUUUAAAUGAUUUUACUUAGUUUUUCAUUAAAUUAUGCAUGGGAACAAGCCCUUGAUAAAAUGUUUUGAUGUUAAGAAAAUGUAAAAUGUGUAAAAAAAUGAAUCCAUGUGCUCCUAUGUUAUGUUGGUAUGUAUAUAUAUGAAUAUAUGUUGUGCAUUGAUGAAUAAUGUUGUGUGAUAAUGAUGACCCGACUAUGUGUGAGUAGGGAGUGCACAUAAGCUGAUGAUGACCAAGCUAUGUGCGAGUAGGGAGUGCGCAUAAGCAGAUGAUGACCCGGUUAUGAGCGGAUAGGGAGUGCACAUGAUGAUGAAUGAAGUGGGGUGGUGUACGUGUUUAUAUAUGUUUAUAUAUGUAUAUGUGAUAGAAAGUUUAUGAUUAUAAUAUGUGAUUGAAAUGAAUAAUGAGAAACUUGAUUAUUAUCAAUGUGUUCACUUUGAUGUGCAAUAUGGUAAGAAUGGAUUUUGUGGCAUGUGAAAAUCCCUUAAUUGUCAUUUGCUCUGAAUCCCGUUGCAGCAAGAAACUCUCGGGUGGUGGGGGCACAAACUAGCCCUGUUUCUCACUACAGUAAAAAAGAAUUCUAGCUGCAACGAGGAAUUCACUGCAGCGAAAAUGGAUUCUCGCUGUAGCGAGAAACUCUAGGGUGGUCCCAAAAUUCUAGUGCAGUAUUUCCACUUUGACAGCAAUUUUGACCACCUUUCAUUCAGAACUAGGAAAAGUGGUAACAUAAAAGUUUUAUCCCAGCCUCUUAUCUUUCUAAUGGUGCAAAAAUCAUGUCAAUUGGACUUCUGUAGUGUGAGAUAUGCUUGAAAAACCGAAACAUAUGCAAACUAAGAUUGUUUCUCACUGCAGCGAAAAACUUGCUAUCCUGCUUGCUACCUUGCUGGAUUUUGACAUAUUUUUCACCCAUUUAACUUCAUGGAUUGAUCAUGGGUUUUUGCAACACUAUGAGGUUAUUAAUCAAAGUUUAAAAUGAGGGGUUUUUUAGUGAGAAAUUAAAUCAAUUGCAUUAUUUUUUAAACAAGUGCAUCAUGAUUUCCAAAUUCUCCUUAUCGAUUGCUUGUUCCUUUCUUAUGUUCACUCACUGAGUUUUAUACUCACAUUUUUAAACUACAUGUUUUCAGAUUUGGAGGCAGUUGGGACCUAGAUUGAGUUGUCCACGUAUGCUCGCCUUCUUGGUAGGUACUAUGGCAUCUCAGUAGCUGUACCUUGACCCACGGUCACUCCGCUGACGGUCAAGGGUCUGUUACCUGUGAACACGCAUAUGUUAUGAAAUCCUCUAGUAUCCAUGUUAUAAGUCAAAUAGGUAUAUUUGAUUACUGAUGCCACUAGGAGUUGGCAGACGGGUGACAUUACUUUGACAUAAUAAAAUUGUAAGUAUUGGGUCACUAUAAAAUGUUACUAAAAUAUGUUAGUAGAGAAUUACAAUAUGUGGUUUUAGAAAUGAUGGUUGGGAAUGAUGAUCGAGAUUGUAUAAAAAGGCUUGCUUGGGCUUAGUGGGCUAUGCCCAUUGGGCCCAUGAGUCGAUCAUGGCGCGAGAUUUGGGCUGUGACAGUUAUGCACAAAAGGUGAAAUUUGCAAGGAUGCCAGAAUAUUGUCCUCACUGUUCUUAUGUUGGUCAUGCUGUUUCUAAUUGUAUGGUGUUAAGUAAUAAUAAAAAAAAUUCUAUCAUUGCUAAAUCAAAGGCUAUGAAGAAUGAUAAGCCAACUACUGAUUUGCUUAAGGGUCCUUUAAAGGAAGUAACAGCCCUAGGGGAAGGUCUCCAUGAUGACCUAGAAAGACAAGAGAAGCUUGUUGUUCAUUUUGGUGAGAAAAGAAAAAAAAACUGUGAAGGUGGCUAAUGGAGAACAAAAUUUGCAAUGGAAGAGAAGGAAAGAAACGACAAGAGUAAGGUGAAAAAUUUAAAAGGCAUGGAGAUUAUUUCUGAAUUUCCAUAUACAAAGACCCUUAUGCUAGAAGCGUCAAAUAUAUUCAUUGCAAUUGCCAUUGCAGAAGAGGAAAAAACAAAAAAUGAGGAAAUGUAGGUUGAAAAAAUCACCGAAUAGAAUGAAAGAAAAAUUUCAAAAUUUUUUUGGUACUUCCACGGAUUUUAUAAUGCCUGAAGAUGCAGCUAAGAUUGUCCCCAAUAAUGGAAAAAUGCCAAACAUGGUGUAGGAAAAUUUUAAAAAUUUUUCUCAUGGACCACAAGAUGUGCAUGAGCCAAGAAAUAAUGUUGAAAGCUUCUCUAAUGACAUGGGAAUCUAGAAUUAGAAUUUAUUGGAUGAGGAAAAAUCAAAAUGGGCUUAAAAUAACACUCAAAAUGUCACUAAACAUAAAAAAAAAAAAGAGGAAGGAAAAAAAAGUUUAUCCUCUUAUUGCCACGGCACUUCAUGGGGAAAACCAAAAUGUUUCCAAUGCUAAUAGUGUUAACAAUUUGCAAAAUGUUUCAAUUCCUUCCAAUAAAGAAAAUUCUAAAGGUAAGGAGAUUAAAAUUCAUCCAUCUUCUUUUCAGUGUAAAAAGUCAAAUAGUGAUAUUCUUUAUGUUCCGGAGACUAUUGCUGAUGAACAAGGAAAUACAAGACAAAAAGGUCUUGUUUGUGAUAGUGGGUAUACCUCCAUAGAAUCUACUUCCUUUUCUCAAUGAUAAAUUGCAUAAUCUAGAAUACUCGAGGUAUUGCAAGUAAAGUUAUUCAAAGGUGCUUAAAAAAUUGAAACUUAUGCCUAAUUUAAAGUUUCUAGUUAUUAUAGAGCUUAUGGUUGAUGUUUCAAGAAUUAAUUUCUUUCGUCAUCGUUUAGGAUUUGAGGGAGCUACUUAUAAUUGUUCUAUGAAAAUUUGGAUUUUUUGGACUAAUGACGUUGCUUGUGAAGUGUUAAUCGAUCAUGUGUUGUGCUUACAUGUCGGAUUAUCUACCCUAAGGCUUUUGAACCUUGUUUUGCAUCUUUUGCUUGUGCUAAGUGCACACAAACAGAAAGAAGAGAAUUAUGGGACUGCCUACGUUUUAUUUCUACAAAGUUGAGGGAGCCUUGGCUCAUUAGUGGUGAUUUUAACACUUUACUAAGUAGUGAAGAACGAUUGACUGGUGUUAUACCGAAUAACGGCUCCAUGUAAGAAUUGCUUCAGCCAAGUUAAAUUAUGGUCUCUUGGAUAUCGGAUAUGAAGGUAAUCCAUAUACAUGGGCUAUCUCUACUAGUUUUUAGAGGCUUGAUAAGGUUUUAUACAAUAUUGAAUGGUCUGAAUUUUUUCUGCUACACGUGUUCAAGACUUUGCAAGGGAUGGUUCCGAUCAUUGUCCAUUACUUGUAUCAUGCUUUAACAUAAUGGCAAAAAGUCCUUCUUCAUUUCAAUUUAUGUAGGCAUGGGUGAAGAUCUAUGAUUUUUUUUUUAAAUUUGUAGAAGAAAAUUGGAACGCUUUUAUCUAAGGUUCAAGGCUUGUAGUUUUUUGGUUGAAGUAACGGCGGCUUAAGAGUGGAUUGGAAUGGUGGAACAAAGCUGUUUUUGGUGACAUUUUCUCUAAGGUGUAGGCUGAUAAAAAAAGGCAUCAGAAAGUUAGUUUUUUUUAUCAGAAUGAUCAAAUCGUAACUAAUAGAGAACAAAUGCAUCUUGUUGAUGCUAAAUUAAAUCACAUAUUGAGCAUUAAGGAGAAUUUUUGGCAACAAAAACUUGGUGUGAAAUGGACAGUAGAAAGGGAAAGAAAUAUGAAAAUUUUCCAUAUGAUUAUGUGGAAAAAAAGGAUUCAGAAUCAUAUCUUCGAAAUUUGAGAGAGUGAUGGGGAUAUGGUUGAAGAUCCUUCAUUUAUUCAAAAUUUAGCAAUGGAAUUCUUCUCUAAUCUCAUGAAGCUGGAGGAACAUGAUAUUUCAAUGUUUAACACUUCUUUAAUUGCAUCUAUAAUUUCCAUGGAUGAUAAUAAUUUUUUAUGUGCAAUUCCAAGUUUUUCAAAAAUUAAAGAAGCAAUAUUUGAUAUUGACAAAAUUAGCAUCACAGGUCGGGAUGGUUUUUCUUCAUUAUUUUAUCAGUUUUUCUUCGUUAUUUUAUCAACAUUGCUAGAAUAUAAUCUCCAAAGAUUUAUUGGAUGAGGAAAUUGAAUUUUUUGGACGCUGCCCUAGGGUGUGACGUCUACUACACUAGUUUUGUUGCCCAAAAAUUCUAAUCUUUUGUAUUGGAGUGAUUUUUGACCUAUUAGCUUAUGCGCUAUCUUUAACAAGAGAAUAACUAAACUCCUUGCUAAUCGUAUAUCAAAUCUUGUCCCAAGUAUUAUUUCAGAUAAUCAAAAAGGCAUUGUUAGUGGAAGGCUAAUUGGUGACAAUAUCCUCCUUCCUCAAGAAUUAAUGCACAAGAUUGAUCAUAAAGUCCGUGGUGAGAAUGUAGCCUUGAAGCUUAACAUGUUAAAGGCAUAUGAUCAACUAAAUUGGGAGUUCUUAUAUGUUAUGAUGCGACAUUUUGGAUUUAAUGAGUAGUGGAUUGAUAUGAUAUGCAGAUGCAUCUCGAAUUGUUGGUUUCACUCCUUUUUAAUGACAUCUCAGUGGGGUACUUCAAAUUCGGAAAGGGGUUGUACCAAGGUGACUCCAUAUCGCCUGCUCUUUUUAUCUUAGCUGUCAAAUAUCUUUCUAAGGAAUUGAAUGCCCUUUAUCAAAGCUAUCCAUCACUGCAUUACUCUUCAGGAUGUCCUAGGUUACUAGUCACUUAUCACUUGCAGAUGAUAUUAUUAUUUUCACUAAUGACGAUAGUUCAACAUUGAGAAAAAUAUUGAAUUUUUUGAAAGAAUAUGAAUGGUUAUCAAGGCAAAAAAUAAAUUAGCAAAAGAGUUGCUUUAUCACUAGCAAUAAAGCUACUAAUUCAAAGAAUAAGAUAAUUCAAUUAACUGCGGGUUUUAUUCAGAAAAUGAUGUUGAUUACUUACUUUGGAACUUUAUUAUAUAAAGGUACGAAAAAAUCAUUUUUAUUUGAUUCUCUAAUAACUAAAAUGAAAGAUCGUAUUUCAAGAUGGGAGAAUAAAAUCCUCACACUAAGAGGAAAGAUUGCUUUGUUGAGGAGCGUCCUCUCUUCAAUGCCGAUAUACUUGCUAUAGGUUCUUAAACAAUCGUUAUAUGUAAUUGAAAAAAUUGAAAGGUUGUUUAAUAGCUUUUUUAGGGUGAUUCAACAGCCUCUAAACAUAUUCACUAGACUACUUGGAAAAAAUAUGUUUCCUUGAUAAUGAAGGUGGCUUAGAAGUUUAAAGACUAGCAGAUGGUUUUGAAGCGUUUAAUCUCAAAUUGUUGUGGCAUUUUCAUACUUUUAAUAGUCUAUGGGCACAAUUCAUGGAGGCUAAGUAUUAUGGUGGCAUAAUUCUGAUGCAAGAAAAAAUCAAGAUCCUUGACUCUCGUACAUGGAAACAUUUGAAAGCAAGAUGUUGAAUUGCAGAAAAGGACAUCUAAUGGAAGAUAGGUAAAUGAGAGCUUUUUUUUUUGGCGUGACUAUUGGAUAGGGGAACAGCCUUUGGUAAACUUUUUCCCUUCCCAAUUACAUUCGCAUCUUAAAGUUCAAAAUGGUAAUGUUAAAUGGGAUGUGGAUAAAUUAAAGCUUUCUCUAUUUGAAUUUUUUGUUAAGUAAAUAGUUGAAUUCUUAUUGAAAAUAAUAGUGAGGACGUUGCAUACUGGGUCCAUUUUUCUAAUGGCGAAUUUAGUGUUGGGAUUCGACCUCAUGCUCAAACAUGAAAUAAUCAAGAAGUUAAAAAUGUAAAGUAGUGAAAUAAUAAACUAGCAUUUAGUCAGAGAAAUAGUCGAAUCCUACAAGAUCAAUGUUUGUAUUUUUCAUGUAAUUUUCAAAUUAAUUAUGAACAUUCAUAAGUUUAUUCUAGAUAUCGUAAUCAAGAGCCAAUUAAAUCAAAAACGCUUGUGAUGAAGCAGGAAAUCCCGAAAAGUGAAUAAGAUGGUCUAAAAUCUUGCAACCAAAAUCUUUACUUCUUCACCUUUAGGAUUUGUCAAAUCUUUAGCCACUUAAGUGUUUGGCCUCUAACAGUAAUCCACACAGUAACCGAAUUAGACCUUUUCAAAGCUAGGAUUUUACUUGUGAUUGCAAGUUUUGUUUCUAAAACAAGAAAGACAAAAAAUUCUUGUCGAAUCUUGUUUCUAUAAGACAAAGAAAAACUAUUUUUCUUUUCUUAUUUUUAUGAAACGGCUAAGAAGUGACUAGAGGCUUGGAGUUUUAGUUUGCUAGCAUAACAUAUUUAUAUAGCCAAACUAAGUUGUAACCCUAGAUACAAAAGUUGUAUUUUAAUUCAAUUAAAUCAUUGUGAACUUAAUUAAUUUCUCACUUUAUUUUGGUCUAUUCCAAUUAAGUCCAACUUAAUUGAUUAUCCUUAUUUAAUCUCAAUCAUGUCACUUAAUGUGUGUGACCCAUUAGGCUUCUAACAUGUUGGCAAUAAAUAUAAAUCCUAAUCAAAUAUCAAUUUGAUAAUUGAUUUAUAUUUAUAGAUCAUGUCGUCAUCUAGCAAUACAUCAUGACCACCCAAAUGUUAGAAAGUCAAUUAAAAAAUUUGACAAAGCCAUUCAGUGAUAAGCUUCUCAGUGCAAUACAAUCCUUUCACCAAAUAUCUCGGAUAUGUGAUAAAGCAUGGCUCAAUGUCUUCUUAUAACAUUCUAUAUUAGUUCUCAUAAUUCAUGACUAACCUUAUGAAUUUAGGAAACUAACUUUCCUCAAAUUCAUCAUUCUUUGGCCAAAGACUUUAUACAAGUUAAUCAAGAAUUGAGAACAACUGAGAUACAUCCCCUCAUAUCACUUCGGGUGAUGAAUCCUCUAUUGACCACCCAUUCACCUUCGCAUGUUUCAUGGCAUACCUAAAAACAACCUGUUUAGGCAUUUGGUCGCCUCAGACCCUUAGGGGUGAAAUCAAAGUAUGUCAUUCCCCAUACAAGAUGACCUAGUAUCUCAAGUCCAAGGACUAGUUGCACGACUAUCACAUGAGAACAUAUAUCAUAGACACUUGAGUGAAAUACCAAAUGGAGUUCUUAUAGCGGGUCAUAUUCAGUGAACUUGUUCUUUAACAAGCACCUACAUGUUAUCCUCAAGUAUCUCAUUUAUUUCAAUUUAUGAGAUCGAUUUCUUACUUCUCAAGUAAGGAAGCUUAACAUGUAUCAGUCUUUGAGCAUUGUCAAUGCCCUAUCUCGACAAUACAAUGACGAAAAACAAUUUUAGGAACAUGGCUUUGAUGCAUAGUGAUUUCAUAACUGUAACAACUUUACAAUCUCUUUCAAGGUCUUCAUGUUCCAUGGGCUUCAUCCAAUUAGUACUUAAUAACUCCUUAUUAUUGCACUAACAUGAAGGAAUAUCACAUAUAGUUAUGCGAUUAAGUAUGCAUUAAAUGAUAAUUUAUAUUCAUUGACCAAUCAAAUUGGCUCAAGGGCAUACACCAACAAUUACUACUAAGAGUGCAUGGGAUUUAAUCUACCAAAAACGACCACUAGAUAAUGCCUUUAAUUUAGUAUGGCACAGAAGUAUCCCAUUGACAAUUUCGUUCUAUUUGUAAAGAGUUAUUAAUGGAUGGAUACUUGUUAAAAUAUGCUUGAAAGCCAAGGGAUUUCAAUUAGCGUUUAAGUGCCAAUGUUGUCGUUUUGAAAAGACCCUACUUCAUGUCCUUUGGCAAAGUUCUGUUGCAUGCCAGGAUGGGAUUUCUUUGCUCAAUUUUUCUAAGUUUCUGUUAUUCAGCCUCAAAAUAUUAUGCAGGUGGUGUGGGCAUGGUACUAUUCAGGUGACUAUACAAAACAAGGACAUAUUCGAGGUUUAUUGCCCAUUUUCAUUUGUUAGUUCCUUUCGGUUAAGCAUAAUGAUGCUAAACACAGACAAUUAGGAUUGUAUCCAUAAAGAGUAAUAUGGAAAAUUAUGAAGAUACUGAAGUAGCUUUAUGAAGGGAAUCUAAUAUGCCAAGAGGAACCCGAAAGGUGAUUUACAAAUUGCUAAAUUGCGGAAUAUCAUCUUUUUGAAUCAACCAACCAUGCCACCAUAAAUCAUUAUGUGGUUGAAGCCUAGCUUGGAUGAAAUUAAAUGAAACAUGGAUGGGAGCUCAAAAGGCCAAUUUCAGAAUGCUGCAAGCAGUGUCGCACGUGACUAUACAAGUAUGCUUCUCUUUGGAUUUUUUGAAAAUUUUGGACCUCAUAAUUCUUUAAAAGCCAAAUUCCUUGCACUUCAAAGAGGACUUAUCCUAUGCCGUGACCACAAUAUUUCUAAAAUUUGAAUUGAGAAGGAUGCCAAAGUGGUAGUGAACAUGAUAUUAGAAGGGACUAUCGGAUCAUACAACAUUCGGUAUAUCUUAGCUUCCAUUUGAAAAUGCUUACAUCAUUUUACUUAUUAAAUCACUCAUAUCCAUCCUGAAGGCAACCAAGGUGUAGAUUCCUCUCCAACCAAGGCUAUACACAUCAAGGACUUAAGGUUUCUUUAAUGUCGAAGGUGAACUAAAUGGUAUCUUAAAGCUAGAUAGAAUUAAUUUACCUUAUGUUAAAUUUAAACAUAUGUAAGGGAGUAGUACUCUUUAUUUUUUUUAUUUCUUGUAAGCAAGUUAGAGUAUUUAAUUGUUGUCGGAUUAUCCAUGCAAGUGCAUGUAUCGUUAAACAAGCAAUAUAGUGAAAAGUAGAGUGUUGAUCCCAUAGAGAAUUGAAUUAAUUUUUACUGUUAACAAUUAAAAUUAACACACCUUAAUCUUAUUCAAACAACUAAAUUUAAAUUAUUAAAAAACAAAAUUAAAUCUUAUAAACUAUAACUAAAACUAAUCUAAAAUUAAUUAGCAAAUGUGUUUUAAAAACUCAAUCAACUACCAAUCCUAAGAUUACAAUAUCUCUCAAUAUUUCGUCUAAAUAUUUUAUCUCGCUCUCUUAACUUACUUCAAUGGAUUAAGUUACUAACCUAAAGUCCUAGAUUAUUAUAAGUCUUUGUCGAGGUUCUCAUAACAUAUCUUUCCCAAUUAACUCACUAUAUGUUUAUGCAAAUAAAAUUUAAGAACAAUUAAUUAAGUUCAUGCUCUAAUCUUGGCUACGUCUGGCUUAUAGGUGUAUGUCUACCCUAUAUGCAAAUCAACCACCUAAAUAACUAAGUGCAUUCGAUCAUAUGUUAUUCUAUUUUGUUGACUCCAUUUGUUUUUUAUGAUAACAAAACAUUCCACAUUCAUUAAUGUCUAAUCUUGUUAUUAAGUGUGCAAGAUUCAAUUUAACACCUCUAACAAGUUGUUAAUUAAAGGCAAGUCAAUGAGCUUGUUAAGUUUAAUAAGAGUUAAUCAGUUAAGAGGCAAAUAGCAAGUAAUGAACAAAAACAGAACCUUAAUAACUGAUUAUCAAGAUACCUUAAUCAGUUAAGGCAUGGCUGUGUGAUAAGCUAAAGCAAAACAAAAAUAUGUUAAUCGGUUAAGAGAUCAGGUUAAUCGGUUAGAGCACAAGGUCCUAGUAUCUUCAAGCGCCAAAAACAAGUUUGAAAAGAUAGUUUACUGUUGAAGGAAGCCAAAAUGGAGAAGUUUGAAAUUCGAAGAUCUUCUAGUCGAUUAAAGCUAAUUUUAAUUGUUAUGGUUGAAAGAAGUAAAGCUUUAAUCAAUUAAGGGAAGAGCUAAUUAAUUAGAGGAAGACUCUUGUGUAGAGAAGUGAAAAUAGAAAGUUUGUAAUCGGUUAAAGCCUACCAUAACCAAUUAGAAGAAAUUUGCUGAAAAAGAGAAGUUUGAAGACAAAGAACUCUCAAUCAAUUAAAGCCUUAUAUAAUCGAUUAAAGUAGAGAACACAGCAGCAAGACAAUGCAAGGUAAAGAAGCUGUAAUCGGUUAGAGCUGCUUGUAACUGGUUAGCUGAAUAUUGUCUGCCUUUUUGAAUUUAAACACUAGAUGUUACGACCCGGUACUCCCCUCGAGCCCAUGACAAUCGACCCAGUGUCCUGAUAGACACUCACUACCCAGAAUGCCAAUCGGAACCCCACAAGACUUUAAUAUCAGUUUCUCAUUUACCCUGUGAGUAACCGUUGCCAAAUAUCAUAUUCUAAAAGAUUUUAAGCUAUUUCCAAAUCAAAACAAUAAAAAAUAAUAAUUGAUUUCUGUCUCACAUGGGCAUUUUGGUCAUUUUUUCUCGAAAAUCUCGAAACUAGCUAAAAAUGUAGUAUGCGAGUGGAAAACACAUAUUUCAUAAUCAAAAAUAAGUUUAGAUGUCUAAAACAUUCAUUUAAAGUGAAACUAUAACUAUUUAAACAUAAUAAAAAUAUUCGAUAAAAUAUUCUAUUUUCUUAUAAAAUAAUAUUUAUAGAGUUAUCGGUAAAUAAUUUUUACAGCGUAAAAGCAAAUUAAAUUCCUACAUACAGUAGUACAGAUAACUAGAGUAUGAAAUUUAAUUUAAUUUAUAGUAACAUGUGGACCCCAAAUGACAAAAAUGAACGAAGGUUGCAAACCUACAGUUUUUGAGGAAGUAAAGCCAACUGUAGCCUUCGACGAUAUCAGCUAUCUACAGCCUAUACUGA